UGACCGCUGUAUGUUGCAACGUGAUAUCGUCUUACGAUUUUCACCUAGCAGAAGUGUUCCGCCAGAAGAAAAAACCCCUAGCAGAAGUGUGAUGUACAUAAAAGCACCUGGCAUAGAGGGACGCAUUGCACAGUUUGGGAGAAAAGGGGGAUACAUUGCUGGUGUGCAUCCUUGUCACUUAGGCACCACAGAUCAGAGCCAUAGCACACUUGCGGGGUGAAUGGAUGUUGCACAUAGAAUUAUGGGCCGCCACAUGCUGUGUAUAACUUGUUUACCCGUGUCUCUAGCAGUAAUUUUGUACGUACAUAUACAGAUAUAAACGGGAGAGAGAGUGUAAAAAAGAGCGAUUAGAUUUGAGCGGUUGAACACCAGGUGGAAAAACAGAGGUGCAUUCAGUGGAGCACGUCCGAUGGCGAUUGCGCCGGCACGAGCGAGCAGAUGUGCAUUCUCACCUCAUGUGUAUAGAGUAAAGAGCUUUUGCCCAAUGUCAAGUUCUCCAACCGGCUGUAAUACAAACAUCAAAGGACAAAAGGAGUCGUCACCAACGCCAUCUGUCGAAGUCUCAAGGAAAUACCCAACCCAAUGUACACUUGACUUUUGUCCCCUGGCAUCAGUUGAAUGAUAAUCUCUCUCGCGUGUCAUGGAAUACUCGGUCAAGAAACAGCUGGGCUUGAUUUGUGAUAAUAAUAAACGUUGGUUGAUAUGGAACGAAACUGGAUUGUCCUAAGUGUUGUAGAGACGGUCAGUCGGCUGCCUGUAAUAAUCUCUGCCACGUUGACGGCCGUGUCCCAUCCCUAUCAUGCCUACAGUUUUGGUCAGCCGCACAAUUUGACGCAAACGCGAUUUGCCUGGGCUGGUUUGACCGUUUGACGUGGUCACUCCCCUCCCGCCUGCAACCAAGAACCAACCUACGCACUGCACAGGUGCACUACACGUGCAUGCGCCUGACUUGCUCCAAGCCUCCAACUGAUCCCUAAUUACUUCCAUCCAUGUGUCUGCCUGCUUGCUUGUGUGCAAGAGACACUGCCCCGAGUUUUCUCUUAUGGAGGCCCUGUGCUUGUAGUUAUCCAUGCAUGCGGGGUGCUUGGUCGGCUGGAGAGAUGAGAUGGCCUCGUCCACCUUACAUAAUGAUGCGAGAGCGUGAGUGAUCAGCAGAAUGAUUGGAUGACAUGUAUAUAGUUCCCCGUUUCUAUGCUAGCCUGGGAAGGACAUACAUAGCAUACAGGCUCAUUUUAUUCCUGAUGAAGCCAAGCCAAACGGGCAACUGAUGAUGAUGAUUAGUAGGAUGCCUUGCACCCACCGAUACGUAGGAUUCAUGCAGUAUCCAACAGUGAUGUGGCUGUCCCCAAGUAGAAUAUGCAUUCUUUGGGUUGGGAGGCGGAAUAGAUUAAGCUAGCAUCCGAUACGCAACGACCGAGCACAUGCGUCGUCCCGCUCCCGCCUCACGAACUGCACUCGAGUGGCGCUGGCUGUAGGCUGCCCGCUUUGGCUGGCUCGAACCGCACCGCACCACCCCACUCAUCCAAACCAACCAACGGCACAAAAACGAUCCUCAAAAAAAAAAGGGCACAAAAACGAACCGGCAGGCAGCCGCUACGGCCACCCUCACCCUGCUCCCCCGCUCACCACCACAAUCACGUGUCCUCUUGCUCUGCGACUGACGUGCGGCCCACCACGUCCCACGCCCCCACGCGGCAGUGCCACCAGCGCGUGCGACCACGUCGCUGGCCGACCGUCCGUUCCAGCUCGCCAAAAGCAACUUUUACCACUCACCGCGCGCGCCGCUGACGAGGUGGGCCGCGACGACGCGUCAACCGGCCCGUCACCGGGGCCCGCCCGUCCGACACACCAAGUACGUUUUACGAGUCACCCCGGCGCCGCUUCCGUGACUGUGGGCCCGGGUCUUCCAGACCGUUUCUUCCCACCCAAAUCAAUUACUAUUAAGUUAAUCAGGCUCGGUUUCAGUCAUUUAUUUUUAGGAGGGAGAAAUAAGAUGAUCGAUCAAUUACCCCCCUCCCCGCGGCCUUGGCCUUGGCCUCGGCCUCUUCGUCUCGCCGUCCGCGACGACCACUCGGAGAAGAAGACGACGAGGCGGGGGAGGCAGCCAGCUCCCAUAAAUACCCAUCUCCAGCUCCGUCCCCGACUCGACUCGAGUCGCUUCUUCCUCCCUUCCUUCGGAGCUGGAUCGGAAUCGACAGCGACCUCCCCCGCCUCCGCCACGCGUAUUUCCUCCUCCUCCUCCUCCGCCUUACCCACUAAGAAACAAAGAAAGGAAGAUUGCCAGCCAGCCCCCGCCUUCCCUCCUCCUUGCCGUGUUCCCUCCCGUCGCCGCUAUAAAGGCCCUCGCCGCGAGCCUUUCCGCGUGCCGUGCCNNNNNNNNNNNNNNNNNNNNNNNNNNNNNNNNNNNNNNNNNNNNNNNNNNNNNNNNNNNNNNNNNNNNNNNNNNNNNNNNNNNNNNNNNNNNNNNNNNNNNNNNNNNNNNNNNNNNNNNNNNNNNNNNNNNNNNNNNNNNNNNNNNNNNNNNNNNNNNNNNNNNNNNNNNNNNNNNNNNNNNNNNNNNNNNNNNNNNNNNNNNNNNNNNNNNNNNNNNNNNNNNNNNNNNNNNNNNNNNNNNNNNNNNNNNNNNNNNNNNNNNNNNNNNNNNNNNNNNNNNNNNNNNNNNNNNNNNNNNNNNNNNNNNNNNNNNNNNNNNNNNNNNNNNNNNNNNNNNNNNNNNNNNNNNNNNNNNNNNNNNNNNNNNNNNNNNNNNNNNNNNNNNNAUUAGCCUGCGCUCGAUUUGCCGGCCGUCGCGAUGUGGGGGGACUCGAAGCCGAUGCUCAAGUCCCGCGGCGGGGGCGGCGGCGGGGGCGGCGCCGACGAGGAGGGCGACUACUUCCCCAACACGCCGCGCAAGGACUGGUCCACGGGCCUGCUCAAGCUCGUCACCGCCAUGGUCAUCUUCAUGGCCGGCGUCGUCAUCGGCCUCUCCGUCAGCGCCAACGUCUCCCGCUACUACUACAACUCCCACACCGAGCUCUUCUUCCCCACCGCCACCUACAGCUCCUGCGACCGCCGGGGCGCCACGGGUGACUGCGGCCCGGGCUUCAAGGCCUUUGUGCACCCGCCCACCCUCGCGCACUCCAUGACCGACGACGAGCUCUUCUGGCGCGCCACCCUCGUGCCCACCGCCGAGGAGUUCCCCUUCCAGCGCGUCCCCAAGGUCGCCUUCCUCUUCAUGACCCGCGGCCCGCUCCCCUUCGCCCCGCUCUGGGAGCGCUUCUUCCGCGGUCACCAGGGCCUCUUCUCCGUCUACCUCCACACCAUACCGGACUACAAGCUCAACGUCUCCAAGACAUCCCCAUUCUACGGCCGCCAGAUCCCCAGCGAGGUACUAUAAUCAAUCUCAAGUCUCUUCUUUUCCUCCAUAAUUUACCUUAAUGAAACGAACCGUGUAAAAAUCAGAUUGGUAGUUAGUUGAACAAACUAUGUUGUGUUGCCUGCGGAAAAUUUGUGGCUGAUUGAUUCGUUAGCUGGUGCCUUGGUGGAGUGAGUCGGACAACCGUUGUCGUGCUAGUUGGUGGUUGCCAUGUGCUCAACUUGAUUCAUGAUUGGGAUAUGUGUAUGUAUUUGCUCUAGCCUCUAGGGGAAUAUGCUUGCCUGACCCCAUGCCAGGAUGGUGGGUAAACUACUCGAUGGAUUCUCCAACUAGUGGUGCUCACGAAUGUUGCUAAUAUUGUGAUCUAGAGAUGCUUAAUCUACAAUAUUCUGCUUGAAUUUAUCCACUAAAUAAUUAGUCAAGGAUGUCAUAUGGUUGGGAAUUUGUUUAUUUGUGUACUCUGCUUUUCUUCUUUUAUGUUCAUAUAUGUGGGGCUAAAGUGUCAACCUCAAAUAUCGAUGCGAUGUGUGCAUUCUUUCAGUAUUUAACAGUGUGAGUGCCCUCCAUGUGCGGUUCUCGGACCCUGAUCAACGGCUAGUUUUGAUAACAUAUUCUGAUCCUUGUUUAUUGCCAAUGCAGGAAGUGUCUUGGGGAUCGAUAACCCUGGUGGAUGCUGAGAAGCGCCUGCUGGCCAAUGCGUUGUUGGAUUUCUCGAACGAGCGUUUUGUUUUGCUCUCGGAGAGCUGCAUUCCGGUGUUCAACUUCCCAACCGUCUACGAGUAUCUCAUAAACUCGGAGCACAGCUUUGUUGAGUCCUACAACAUCGACACCCCUCAAAGCGCUGGCCGCUACAACCGUCGAAUGGCACCUCACAUCUUGCCGGAACAAUGGAGGAAAGGGUCAGAGUGGUUUGAGCUUAACCGUGAGCUGGCCGUGCGUGUGGUAGCGGACUACAAGUAUUACUCGAUCUUCCGGAAGCAUUGCAGACCAUCUUGCUACCCGGAUGAGCAUUACAUACCGACCUAUCUUCAUCUUUUCCACGGGUCGCUCAACGCCAACAGGACCAUCACAUGGGUUGAUUGGUCAAGAGGAGGCCCACAUCCAGCAAGAUAUGGUGCUGGAAACAUCAAUGUGGAUUUCAUCAAGGCCAUCAGGAACAACGGUACGCAGUGCCUCUACAACUCGAAGCACACCUCUGUGUGCUACCUCUUUGCAAGGAAGUUUGCUCCCAGUGCUUUGGGGCCAUUGAUGAACCUCACUUCGACGGUAUUGGACUUUUGAGCUCGGCUUCCAUUGGCAUUAUAUUAUCGAGCUAUCUCCAUCGACGAUCACUCGCUCGCGUGCCGGUACCGGUCAGGUAGAGGUACUCUGCUAGCUCAGGGACAUGUCUCUUAGAUAGAUGAGAGACUGCUGUCGAGGACGCUUGGCUGGUGGAUGACGCUGUGUGGGACGGUGAAAUUUACUUCACUUAUCCUGAAGCUGAUUCCCGAGUAAUGGACGAAUGGCGCUACAAGAUCAAGAGAGGACAUUUUCACCUCCCAUUCUUUUUAAUAUAUCAUAGCUCUGUGAUAGAUCUUUUUUCUUUUUUCUUCUGCCCCCCAUCACUUAUUGUAAUGACUUGGUCAGGAUGCUAAUUUUAUGUGAAUAUAACUUGCUCAAUCGUUGCUUGGCUUGGCUUGGCUUCAAGUCUGGCGUUGCCAGAUGGCGCCGCGCACUUGAUACAUGGCCACAGCCUCAAAACCUUGAAGCUACAGCCUGCCAUUGGUGGUUGUGACUUGUGAGGAUGCUCUGCUCUGGUCCAUGAGAUGAAAGCUAGUGUAGAUAGAGAAGUUUGUGGAUGUAGGCAGAAUAUGCCACCUUCUUGUGGCACUGUCUCCACAAGAAAGGAAGGAAAGCUGGUUCUUUUUGAAAGGCACACAUGAGUAGGCCAUCUAUGUUGCUACAAAUUCUUGGACCUGCUGUUACAGAUUGUACUUGUUUGGCUGUGAGAGUGCAUAAUAGUAUUGCGGGGACAUGCUUAAUUGGCCUGUGCGUUUGGUAGCUGCACAAAACUAGGAUUGGUUGGCGAACAUGGGAGACAUGAUUUUAGGCUGGCGUAGCCCGCACACGCUCUUGUCAUGCCCUUAGCCAGUGAUUACAAUAAUCCACUGGCACAGGUCUAUGAAUAUUUCAUCCUGAAAUAGAAGAAAGUCUAUGGAUUAAUUUUUCGUGUGAUGUGUGUCUGACCUGCACAACAAGUUACUAUAAUCUGUGAAUGGCCUACGUGGUGUUUGUUUAGAAUGUGUUCUGGCUAGAUAUAUUUGGUGAAAUUGUAGCGGUAUUUGUUAAAACAAAAUAAUGGAAACGGUUGGGAUUUUGGAUGAAAGUGACUGUUGCUGCUCCUUGUAUUGCUGCCCUGGCCCAUGAAAACGAUGCCUUCUCAUAGACCCUAAAAAAAAGAAAACUGUACUUUUGAGGGAAAAAAAGGGAGCAUCUUUGUUUAAUUUAUUCCCGAAUGAUGCUGCUGAAUCUAAGGGCCUGUUUGGAACGCAGGAUCAUCAUCACAUUUGAAAAAUCGUAAGGAAAUGGAACUGUUUUCGGCGUGCGCGAAAAUCAAGUAUGGGUGAGGUGAAUGCGAUAGGGGGCUUUAAAGCAUCCACAGUGUGCAUUUUUCACUGCCUCUAAGCACUCUCUCUCUUCUUAGAGGUCGCCUCCAUACACUGCACUUCAGGCCUCUAAGCAAAAAAUCUCUAGCAUCGCCUCUUAGCUUGGAGGCUGCCUCUAGUGAUUUAAAUAAUCAAGCAGCCCCACCCAUCAGCCUGUUUGUGCUCCCAACGAUGCAUGUGAUGAACCAAAGUUCUCCAUUCAGAUUACCAUGCCUUUGUUUAAUCAAUCAUGGGCCCACAAUAGAGGCUGAAGCAAAAUGUUAUACACUGCGUGGUUUUGAGAUUGUUUGGAGGCAGCGCUGUGGGGUCCAGCUUGGAGGCAAGCUAGCCUCUAAGCACUGUGGAUGCCCUUAUAGGCUUUGAGCCGUUGCAAACCAUCCUCAUCCACCAUCGUAGUGUUUGCAAGUGGUGGUGUUCAAGUUGAGGAAAGGUGAGGAGCAUGGGCGUGUACUCUUGGAAUGCGUACAUUCCUCCGUCCUUCGCUAUCGGUCUUCGGUCUACCACUUGUUGCUUUGCUCUCUGAAGUCUGAAGGACCUUGUGGCGCUCGUAUGUCUGAAUCGACGAUGAAUAUAGGACGCCUUUGGUUAGUUUCUUAGUGGAGCCUGGUUGAGUGUAUGCAGGCUCCUGGCGAGCCUGCAUCUGGAAAAACUCCAAUUUAAUUUGAGCGUUCCUGGCGAGCCAGGUCGAGGGAGCUUUAAAUUUCAUUUGGGUCAAAUUCUAUAUGUGAGCCAGGCAACCAAACAACUCGCUACUUAGCCCAACAGACCCUGAUUUGUCUUAAUGCAACGGAGCAACUAGUUGAUGAGCGCUUCUUCGGGAGCCUUACAAUGAUCAACGUUACUUGGCGUGCUCUCAGCCAUCCGUUACGUGUUGCAUUCUGGGCGCUCCUUCCGGAAUUUUUUUCCCGCACACGUUUUUGGCCUUUUAAACGGUUUUGUUUUCAGUUUUUUUUAACAUUUUGGUUUUCCACCGAUCUUCCUUAGCUUUUGGAACAAAAAAAUUAGAAAUUUUUUUCACGAAAAAUGCGGUUUUUUUCCGCAAGAGUCACAGCCUUGCCUCUCGGAAACGGAAAAAAAAUCGUGUUUUCUGUUUUUUUCCUUCCGUGAGAGGCACAGUUGUGCUUUCGCGAGUCACGACCGUGCCUCUCAGAAACAAAAAAAAACAUGUUUUUUGUUUUUUUCCUUCUGUGAGAGGCACGAUUUUGCUUCCGCGAGAUGCACGGUUGUGCUUUCGCGAGAGGCACGGUUGUGCCUCUCGGAAACAAAAAAAAUGUAUUUUUUGUUAUUUUUCCUUUCGUGAGAGACACAGUUUUGCUUUCACGAGAGACAUGGUUGUGAUUUCACGAGAGGCCUCCUUGGAAAAGAAAAAAAAUGCGUUUACUCUUUUUAUUUCCUUCCGCGAGAGGCACGGUUUUGCUUCCGCAAGAGGCACGGGUGUGCCUCUUUUGAAAAGGGAAAAAAAAUCCGUGCUUCCGGUUUGGUUUUUUCGUCUGGUUUUUCUCAUUUGGUUUUUUCGUGAAAAAAGAUCGUCAAAACCUAUCAACACGGGAUCUAGUUUUAAAAAUCUCGACGCAAGGGAUCCAACGGUGAAAACGGUUCGAAAUUUGGGCGCAUAAUUUAAGAGAUAAAACGAAUCUAAAAAAAGAAAAAACUUCCAGGUUGUGACAAGUGGCGUACAUGCAGCACGUCACUUGUUGUAAUGGGAGUAAUCUUUGCAAUGAAUACUCAUCAAUUAGUGAUUUGGCUAAUGCAGGCUACCAAGCACAAAAAGGAAAUCUUCGGCGGCCCAUGACAUGUCCAUUUCAAAGCCCAAGUGCAACUCAGCACGGCUAAAGCCCAGAGAGAUCCCAAGGCCCACCCAUCGCUCCUUGUGCGAAAGCCCAUUUCUCCGCUUUUAUUUCUGGAGGAGGAUUCGGUUUGUCUGAAUAAACUAAUCCGGCAGGCAAGGCCUUGCCCUGGCUAUGGGCAUUUAUAUUCAGAAUGUGCAUGUUGUUUCGGACUGUCUUAAUGGGAGCAAUUAGUUAACGAGCGCUUCUUCAAAAGCUUCGCAACGAUUAGCGUUACUUGGCGCGCUCUCAGCCAUUUGUCACGUGUCGUGUUCUGGAUGCUCCCUUCAGAUUUUUUUUUAUUUUUUCGCACGCGUUUUCGGCUUUUUAAACGGGUUUUUUCAGGCUUUUCCGACGUUUUGGUCUUCCCUCGGUCUUCUUUAGUUUUUCUAUCGAAUUUUUUUUGCGCGAACAAAGCACAUUUCCUUUUUUUACGAAAAUCAUGGUUUUUUCCGCAAGAGUUACGGUCGUGCCUUUCGGAAACGAAAAAGAAUGCGUUUUCUGUUUUUUUUCUUUCGCGAGAGUCAUGGUUUUGCUUCCGCGAGAGACACGGUUGUGCUUUCGCGAGAGUCACGGCCGUGCCUCUCGGAAAGGAAAAAACAAAAUGCGUUUUCUGUUUUUUUUUCUUUCGCGAGAGUCACGAUUUUGCUUCCGCGAGAGGCACGGUUGUGCUUUCGCGAGAGUCACGGCCGUGCCUCUCGGAAAGGAAAAAAAACGUGUUUUCUGUUUUUUUUCCGCAAGAGUCAUGAUUUUGCUUCCGCGAGAGGCAUGGUUGUGCUUUCGCGAGAGUCAUGGUCGUGCCUCUCGAAAACGAAAAAAACACGUUUUUUAUUUUUUUUCCUUCCACGAGAGUCACGGUUUUGCAUCCACGAGAGGCACGGGCGUGCCUCUUUCGGAAUGGGAAAAAAACCGUGCUCCCGGUUUCGGUUUUCUCGCCCGGUUUUUUUCGUGCGGUUUUUUCGUGAAAAAAAAGUUCGUCAAAACCUAUCAACAUGGGAUCUAGUUUUGAAGAUCUCGACGCGAGGAAUCCAAUAGUGAAAACGGUUCGAGAUUUGAACGCAUGGUUUAAAAGAUAAAACAUUUUGGAAUAAACGGAUCUAAAAAAAUGAAAAACUCCCAGGUUGCGACAAGUGGCGCGCUGCAUGUGCGCCACUUGUCACGACCUGGGAAAGUGGACUGUUCUUUGCAACGAGUACUCCUUAAUUAAUGAUUUCAGUCUUAAUGUCGUCAACAACUUUGUAGUAUGAGCAUCUCCGACAGACACACAAAAACUGUUCGGCACAUUAAAAUUCGACUUUUUUCGCGUCGGACAACUCCAGCAAAAGCUGUAAAAUAAUGCAUGCGUAAAAAAGAAUUGGGCACGCGCUAAAAACGCUAUCAAAAGCUGUAAAUUUGAGACACAAAAUUACGUGCACUUCAUAAUUUGUACUGCGUGUUUUUUUGGACGCGUGUUUUUUGGCAUUUACUGAACCAGCAUUAAAUCUGAUACAUUAAAAGUGCUACAGUGGCACGCUAAACUAUUUUAAUUCAUGCACCUAUUGGAGAUGGUUUAAGGAUAGGAGGGAAAUAUGAACGUUUAUCAAGAAAAUAACAACUCUUAGGCUGGUCACAAUGGGCAAGAACAUAAACUAAUAUCUUACACACUUCCCUAGACUAUGUUAUUACCUCUAUAGUGGGUAGGAACAUCUAGGUAGUGUCAUGCAACAUGCAACAGUGUAUUUAUUAGGUUAUAGACUCAUUGUUUCUUGGAGUGUGUGAUGUUCCGGUAACUUAGCUAGUUACCACAAGCACCUCUCUCUUCAUUAAAUAUGUGCCACAUAAACAAAGUUGUAUUGGAGUGUGUGAUGUUACUCCUAAGUUCCUCCCACUGUGACCAGGCUUAGGUCUUCUUUUACUCUUUGUAGCUUUGUCCAUGAGAAAAGAGGCUCUAACUAUAAAGCCCACAAUCUAGCUAGGUUUGCAUUUGAUCAAGGCAGACAUACAUGGCUUGCACAAUUUUGCACCUCGAUCUGUCGCUUAUAUCUUUAUCGAUUACCCCUCCAACUUCAAGGGAUAUCGGUGCUACAAUCCCGUCUCCCAUCGUGUGUUCAUUUCCCGACGCGUUUACUUUGAUGAGCAUGUGUUUUCGUUUCACCAGGUACCCCGGCUGUUCCUCCCGCCACUGGUGACGCCGGAUCCUCGACGACUCUCCCAGGACGCUCGCACGCCUCUCUUGGCUCGCUCCUUGGCUUUGAGGCGCGCCCACUGCAUGCGACGCCUCCUACAGCCGCAGCACUAGCGCCCUCGGCGCCCCAGACGUUGGCGCCCGCGGCCCCGGCGGCUCCUCCGGCGCCCGUGACCUUGGUGCCCGCGGCCUCCUCGGCGCCCCCGAUGUUGGCGCCGGCGGCCCCCUCGGCGCCCCAGGCACCACCGGCGCCCCCGCCCCCUCGGGGCCCGCGGCCCCCCUAGCGCCCGUGGCAGGUCCGGUCACUCGCGCCCGUACGGGCGUUUUUGUCCGAGCUCGCGCUACGCCUCGGAUGACUACGUCCAUGCGGCGUCCACCUCUGAGUUGUCGCCGUUUCCGUCCUCCGUUCGAGCCGCUCUUCGUGACCCGCUCUGGAUGGCUGUGAUGCAAGAGGAGUUUAACGCCCUGUUGCGCAACCGGACAUGGCAGCUUGUUCUCCGUCCCCGGCACGCCAACGUGAUUACCGGAAGUGGGUCUUUAAACACAAGCUCCGUCCUGAUGGUACCCUUGAUCGCUACAAAGCGCGCUGGGUCAUUCGUGGCUUCCGACAGCAUGCUGGCAUCGACUUCACCGACACCUUUGCUCCGGUCGUCAAGCCCGGCACGAUACACACGGUUCUCCACCUUGCGGUCUCCCGUACUUGGCCGGUGCACCAGAUGGAUGUAUCCAAUGCCUUCCUCCAUGUUCACCUCAAGGAGCAGGUCUUUUGCCAGCAGCCCACCGGAUUUGUUGACCCGACACUUCCCGACCACGUGUGCCUGCUUUCGCGGUUCCUGUACGGACUCAAGCAGGUUCCACGCACUUGGUACCGGCGCAUUGCGGCGUUUCUCCACCAGCUUGGGUUCCUCUCUACCCGCUCGGACGCCUCAGUACUGACUAGUAUGCUGGAAGGGCAAGCUUAUGUCAUAUGGAGGCCGGCUAGUUCUGAUUAACUCAGUACUGACUAGUAUGUCGAUGUUUCUACUUCCGUUCUUCAAAAUUCCGAAAGGGGUCCGAAAGCGACUUGAUUUCUUUAUAUCUCGUUUCUUUUGGCAGUCUGAUGAGGCCAAGAGGAAAUACCGUCUCGCGCGAUGGGAUAUCCUUUGCCGACCUAAAGACCAAGGGGGUCUCAGUAUUAAGAACUUACAAAUUAAGAAUAAAUGUCUUAUGAGCAAAUGAUUAUACAGAUUAGAGACAGAACCGGAGGGCGUGUGGUCUCAAAUUCUGCACAAUAAGUAUUUGCACUCGAAAACACUAGCCCAGGUUACCAUGAGACCGACUGACUCGCCGUUUUGGAGGGGACUUAUGCGGAUGAAGGACCUGUUCUUUCGUAGGGUCAAAUUCUUGGUUGGCAAUGGGAUAUCAACAAGAUUUGGGGAGGAUAUGUGGUUAGGAGAGACGCCCCUGGCCGUCCAAUAUCCUACCCUUUAUAAUAUUGUGCAAUGUAAGGAGGAUUACGUAGGCACCGUUCUUCAAACUAUUCCCUUGAACAUCCAGUUUAGACGUGUGUUAGUUGGUGCGAGAUGGACCGCCUAGAUGCACUUGGUUCGGAGAUUGAUAGAAGUUCAACUCUCCGACCAGCCGGAUUCAACACAAUGGAAGUUAACUAAGAAUGGGAUGUUUACGGUGAAAUCUUUCUAUAUGGAUCUGAUUAAUUCUGGCCCCCUCUCAAGGCCGCUGCACAUUUGGAAGGUUACGAUUUCUUUGCGUAUUAAAAUCUUCAUGUGAUUUGUCCACAAGCAAGUGAUACUCAUAAAUGACAACUUAAUCAAGAGGCGAUGAGUAGGUAGUUCGCGAUGUUAUUUUUGUGAUCAUGAUGAAACAAUACAAUAUUUAUUUCUUGAAUGCCCACUUGCCAAGUUACUUUGAAGAGCGAUUCAUAUAGCUUUUAAUAUUAAUCCUCCAGUAGAUAUUGCGUCUUUGUUUGGGACGUGGUUAGCUGGGGUUGAACAGAUUACUGCGGCUCGUAUUCAGAUUGGAAUAUGUGCGCUAUUAUGUGCUAUAUGAAACUGCAGGAAUGAUAUGACUUUUAUCAGACAACACACUUUAACUUUUUUGCAGGUUAUCUUCAGAGCUACAACUUGGAUCCGUACAUGGUCCUUACUCACUCCUGUGGACUCCAGGGAGUCUUUGGUUACUGGGUGCAACCAAUGGGAGAUGGUAACUCGAGUUAUCUUCAACCGGUUCGGAUGACGCUCGCAUAACAGGAUAGGAGUCUAAGGAGCUUAUCCUUCUUAUUACCGUAUCGGUUGUCAUUGUCCGCAUGUAAUUUCUCUUAUUUUACUUUGUUUUGCUCCGUUUGCGAGCUGUAAGACUUUUAUGACGAUAUUUUCUGGAUUGUUAAUAAAAGGGCUCAUGCAUUAUCAUGAUGUAGAGGCCGGGGGCAUACGCCUUCAUUUCCAAAAAAAGACAUACAUGGCUUGGUCAGCCGUACGACCCUAUUUGAAUCCAGUUGAUCAUUAAAUUAAUCAAAUAUAAAGCAUAUAGUGUUGUGCUAAAGAGAAAAGAAUAAACAGAGCUCCUGUCACUUCCCUCCGCCUCGUUGCGCACUAGAGCUUCUUGUCUUGGUUCUGCCCCGUUUCUUCAUAUUUCUUGAUGUUGUUGGUGUUGCUACACCAAACCAACUUUUAACUUUGGCCGUGCAAAUCACGCGCCGCCGCAUAGUAAAGUUGCACCGGUGAACACGGCCGGCUUCCAGCCCAAAGUGGCACUGUGACUGCCACCCACCCAUACUUAUGUCAUGCAACUGGUAUGCUUGCUUGCUUUUAUGUCAGAUGCCACUUGGGAGCUUGAUACCCAUGUGCCUUUCUUGAUCUAUAUAGCAAUGAACAAUUAAACAACUAAAGGCUAGGCUAGCGUAAACCAAACACAAGAUGGCAUCCGUGCAUCUAUAGUGAAACUAAUGGAUGGAAGAAAAGCUCCACCCCCCACUUCUCAAAUUAAGCUUAUCUCUUUCUUCUUUCGCAUCAGAUACGAGAAAAUUCGACUGGUGUUUGUCUUUAGGGUUAGAAAAAUAUGAAAAAUCUUGCGCCGAUCUCAACCUUCCAACCGAUAGUCAUCGGUGUCGUGCUAGAACUAACCAUCUUUUAGACAACUGAGAAUUAGCAAAAGCUGUAUUUUAAUAUUAUUUUACAAAAGUUACAGUCUACUAAUACAAGAUCAUGAAUGAAAAGGGGCCACAAAAAGGGGGACAACGCCUCAACCAACAAGCGAGGCUGCGAGCCGAGCAUAAUUAGCGAGAUAAUGUGAAACCCUAUUUUGUGAUCUAACUAUCUUAAUUGGAACAAACUUCCACUCUACCAUUUUUUGCAGGGCAAAUUCCCACUUCACCAUGAGAAGCUUGAUUUCAUUAAUGAGAUGACCAUUGUUAGACUGUAUUUACAUGUGUAUAUUGUAACGUUGUAUACCACCUCAUUAUAUAUACAUGUGUGAUAGGCCACCCCUAGAGGGUUGUGCCGGUUCCCCCCAAAGCCUAUUGUCUUACAUGGUAUCACGCUAGGUUACGUCCGCUUCCGCCUAAAAACCCUAAACCGCCGCCGCCGCCGCCGUCGCCGUCGCCCGACUGCUAUGACGUCCGCCGCUGCGUCCGGCUCCACUGCCACCGGUUUUCUGCCGGCCUCCCUCGCGGCACUUCUCUCGAGGCCGCUGGAUGCCGCCUCCCUUCAGGCGCCGAUCGGGACACGGAGCGUCGGCUCCCUCUUCGCGCUCCCGCCGGCUGCUACUUCGCCCGGGCAGGCGCUUGUGGCCCACACCGCCGCCGCCCCGUCAACCGCAGCUGUCGCGCCCUCGGCCACUGCGCCGCUGGUGGUGGAGGACGUCGCGCUGGCAGGCUUCGCGGCGUCAACCGCAGCCAUCGCGCCCUCUGUCACCGCGCCGGCUGCCCCUCUGACUGUCUCCACGGUGGUCUCACCUCAGCCAGUCUCCUCGAUGGGAUCGCAGCCGCCGCCGCCGUUUCACUUCGGCCAUCUCAUCACCAUCAAGUUGUCGUCGGACAAUUACAUCUUCUGGCGCGCGCAGGUUCUUCCGCUUCUUGGGAGUCACUAUCUGCUUGGCUAUGUCGACGGCUCUCUCCCUUGCCCUCCUGCGCUGGUUGACAGCGUGCACGGUCCGGUCUAUAAUCCGGCUCACCGUGUCUGGACAGGGCAGGAUCAGGCGAACCUCUCCUCCAUCCAGGGGUCGCUCUCUCCGGCCGUUGCUGGGCUUGUUGUCUUCGCCAAGACGUCCCACGAGGCAUGGACUAUUCUUGAGCGCUCGUUUGCGGCACAGUCGCAGGCUCGUGUAUCUGGGCUCCGUCGCCAACUUGGAGAGUGUCAGAAGCUUGACUCCACCGCCACUGAGUUCUACAACAAAGUCAAGAGUCUCGCCGACACGCUGGCCUCCAUUGGACAGCCCCUCACCGACUCCGAGUUCAACUCGUUUAUUGUCAAUGGUCUUGAUGAGGAGUAUGACGCCCUAGUCGAGAUCAUCAAUGAGAGGGGCAACUCCACGCCCAUGCCAGCACACGAGGUCUUUUCACGCCUCCUGCUUACUGAGCAACGAGUCGAGACGCGCCGAUCCAGGGGCAACGGCGCCCUCUCGGCAAACGCCGCCACCAAGGGUGGUCGCUCCUCUGCUUCAUCCAGGGCUCCUUCGGGGCAGUCACCACCACCCGCCUCGGCCCCUUCUCCUACUGCGACGCUACCAGGGGCUGGCGGUCCACGUGUGUGCCAGCUUUGUGGUCGUGAUGGGCACUGGGCCUCGAAGUGUCACAAGCGCUUCCAGCGGGGUUUUCUUGGUCUCGGCAAUGACGGGAAGGAUACACGCAACUUUGCUCGUCAGGUCGCCAUGGCUGAUCGUCCGCCGCCGCAGAAGCCACAGGGACACACUCAGUCCUACUCCAUUGAUCCCCACUGGUACAUGGACUCUGGGGCGACAGAGCACCUGACCAGUGAGAUGGGGAAGCUUCACACUCGUGAACCCUACCAUGGCUCCGACAAGAUCCACACCGCCAAUGGAGCAGGUAUGCACAUCUCUCAUAUUGGUCAAGCAUCACUUCUCACUAGACAUGCCAAUAGGAGUCUUCAACUUCGCAAUGUUCUUCGAGUUCCAUCUGUGACACGUAAUCUUCUUUCAGUUCCUAAACUCACUCGUGAUAAUAAUGUGCUUUGUGAAUUUCAUCCUUUUGAUCUUUUUAUUAAGGAUCGGGGCACGAGGGACAUUCUUCUUAGUGGGCGGCUCUGCCAAGGUAUCUAUCGUCUGGAGCAUCCUAGCGUCGCUCGCGUCUUCAGUGGAGUUCGGGUAUCUCCGUCACAGUGGCAUGCUCGUCUUGGUCACCCGGCCACACCUAUUGUCCGGCAUGUUUUGCGUCGUCAUGAGCUUCCUAGUGUGUCUAGUAAUAAAGAUGUAGCAGUGUGUGAUGCUUGUCAGCAGGGGAAGAGUCAUCAACUUCCUUUUUCGGAGUCCAGUCGUGAGGUGAAACAUCCUUUAGAACUUGUGUUUUCAGAUGUAUGGGGUCCUGCUCAGACUUCUGUUAGUGGUCAUAAUUACUAUAUCAGUUUUGUUGAUGCUUACAGCCGCUUUACCUGGCUUUAUCUUAUCAAACGUAAAUUUGAUGUGUUUGACAUUUUUGUUCAGUUCCAAAACCAUGUUGAAUGCCUUCUCAAGCACAAAAUUGUUCAUGUUCAGUCGGACUGGGGUGGCGAGUAUCGCAACCUCAACUCCUUUCAGUCGCUUGGGAUCACUCACCGUUUAGCAUGUCCACAUACACAUCAGCAGAAUGGUUCAGUAGAACGUAAGCAUCGUCACAUUGUUGAAGCUGGUCUGACUCUUUUGGCCCAUGCAUCUGUUCUGUUUCGUUUUUGGAGUGAUGCUUUCACCACUGCAUGUUUUCUCAUCAAUCAUACUCCCACUCGUGUUUUGAAUAUGAAGACUCCCAUUGAAGUUCUCCUUAAUGAACAACCGGACUACACCUUUCUCAAGGUGUUUGGUUGUGCUUGCUGGCCCCAUCUCCGUCCAUAUAACAAGCGUAAGCUCGAGUUUCGUUCCAAGAAGUGUGUUUUUCUUGGUUAUAGCUCUCUUCAUAAAGGAUACAAAUGUCUUCAUGUGCCCACUAAUCGUGUCUACAUCUCUCGGGAUGUUGUGUUUGAUGAGCAUGUUUUUCCCUUUGCCAAACUCCCUGUGUCCACUACCGAGCCACCUGUCAUGCAUUCAUCCUCUGUUGCUUCUGACCAAUUUGAUGAUGUUGCAUAUUCUCCUCUAUUGUUGCCUAACCAUGGUGCAGGCACUGGUCGUGGGGCUCGUUUGGAGAUUCUGGAAGUGCCAUCUUCCUCUUCGUCGCCAUCGCCUUCAUCCUCGGCACCUUCUGUUGUGCAUGAGGAGCACAUGGCGCCCAUGCAUGGCCUCGGUUUCCGUGCUCAUGCACGGCCGAUCAACGUCCUGGCCCGGUCGCCUCUGGCUUCUGGGCUGCCUUCGCCAUCGUCGCGCCCUGCAACCCCGCCGACUGGGCCGGCCUCCUCGGUCCCCGUCUCGCCCAGGGUGUCGGGGCAGUCAUCACCAGGCCUGGCCUCGCCCGCCCCUGCCUCGCCCAGGGUGUCUGGGCCCUUCUCACCAGGGCCGGCCUCGCCUGCUCUCGCCUCGCCAAGGCCGUCUGGGCCGGUGUCACCGGAGCUGGCCUCGCCCACUCUCGGUUCGCCCAUGGCCUCUGAGCCCCUGUCGUCGGGCCAGUCUUCGCCAUGCAGCCCGGAGUCGUCUGUCCCGAGCUCGCCUGAGGUGAUUCCUGCAUCUCCGGCGACCGUCACGUCUCCGUCACCUUCGCCUCCGCCGGCUCCUGCUGCUGCUCUACGUCCACAUACGCGCAGUCGGAGUGGCAUUUUUCAGCCUAAGCAACGUCAUGAUGGCACAGUUGCUUGGUUAGCGGCGUGCAUGUCUGCUGCUCUCGCAGAUCCAUCCUCUGAGCCACGCACGUAUCAAGCUGCUAUGCGCAUUCCUCAUUGGAGAGAGGCCAUGGAGCAGGAGUAUCAAGCGCUUCUUCGCAAUCAGACAUGGACUCUUGUUCCUCCACAAUCACGGGUAAAUGUCAUUGAUUCCAAAUGGGUUUUCAAAGUGAAGAGGCGUUCUGAUGGGUCCAUUGAGUGCUAUAAGGCUCGUCUGGUUGCUCGUGGUUUUCGACAGCGUUUUGGACUUGACUAUGAAGACACCUUCAGUCCAGUGGUCAAGCCUACUACCAUCAGACUUCUUCUCUCUCUGGCUGUUACUCGAGGUUGGUUUCUUCGUCAGCUUGAUGUUCAAAAUGCUUUUCUUCAUGGUGUCUUGGUGGAGGAGGUUUACAUGCGCCAGCCUCCGGGUUUCUCUGAUCCGGAUCGCCCUGAUCAUCUCUGUCGUCUGUCCAAGGCAAUUUAUGGUCUGAAGCAGGCUCCUCGUGCUUGGCAUGCUCGUCUUGCAAUGGCUCUUCGUGCUCAUGGUUUUGCAUCAUCAACUGCUGACUCCUUAUUGUUUCUUCUUCAAAGGCCUGAGGUUACUAUGUACUUGUUGGUCUAUGUAGAUGAUAUCAUUUUGGUCAGCUCCUCUCAGUCGGCUGCUACUGCGCUUGUUUGCUCACUUGGUGCUGAUUUUGCGGUCAAGGACCUUGGGAAGCUUCAUUACUUUCUUGGUGUGGAGGUUACUUCUCGUGCUGCUGGCCUUGUUAUGACGCAGAAGAAGUACUCUCUGGAUUUGUUGCAGCGAGCUGGGAUGCUUAAGUGCAAACCGACGACUACACCCAUGUCUACCACUGAUAAGCUCAAUGCUGUUGAUGGUGUGCUUCUUUCUUCUUCUGAUGCGACAUAGUACAGGAGUAUUGUUGGUGGGCUCCAGUACUUGACGAUCACGCGACCAGACAUUUCCUAUGCUGUUAACCGAGUCUGCCAGUAUCUGCAGUCACCCCGUGACACUCAUUGGUCUGCUGUUAAGCGGAUUUUGCGCUACAUUCGUUUCACGGUGGCUCAUGGUUUGCAUAUUCGGCCGUCUGACUCUGGUUGUCUUUCAGCAUAUUCUGAUGCAGACUGGGCUGGCAAUCCGGAUGACAGGCGAUCCACGGGGGGUUAUGCUGUCUUCUUUGGCUCUAACCUGAUUGCCUGGAGUGCUCGGAAACAGGCUACUGUCUCGCGUAGCAGUACUGAGGAUGAGUAUAAGGCUGUGGCCAAUGCCACAUCAGAGAUCAUCUGGGUACAGUCCUUGCUUCAGGAGUUAAGUAUACCCCAAUCACAGCCUCCUGUUCUUUGGUGUGAUAACAUCGGUGCUACAUACCUUUCUGCAAAUCCGGUAUUCCAUGCCCGAACGAAACACAUUGAAGUUGACUAUCACUUUGUGCGUGAACCUGUCUCUCAGAAGCAACUACAGAUCAAGUUUAUUUCUUCCAAGGAUCAACUUGCUGACAUCUUCACCAAGCCAUUGCCUUUGCCACAGUUUGAGACUUGCAGGCGCAAUCUUACCCUUCUAGAUUCAUUAGAAAGUGGCUAAGAUUGAGGGAGGGUGUUAGACUGUAUUUACAUGUGUAUAUUGUAACAUUGUAUACCACCUCAUUAUAUAUAUAUAUAUGUGAUAGGCCACCCCUAGAGGGUUGUGCCGGUUCCCCCAAAACCUAUUGUCUUACAACCAUGUGGUGAUUUAGGGGGUGUUUGUUUUCAGGACUUUUUUGUGUAGGGACUAGAAAAAGUCUCUCUUAAAGACUUUUUUUACCAAAUGGCAGAAACUUUUUAGGGACUAAAUUAGGCAUUUGAGACUAAAUGAAGAAGACUCUCAAGGAGAGUCUUUUUGGGACUUUUUGAGACUUUUUCAACAAUGCCCUUACAUGCAUCCAUUGGCGCGCCACCCCAUGGUGUUGUUUGAUUGUUAUUUUUUUAUAUACUAGGGGCAACAUGGUCAUUUAAUAACCUCUAGGAAGGGACUAGGGACUUUUUAGUCUCUGGAAAUAAAUAGAGAGGGACUUUUUAGGGACUAGAGACUUUUUAGUUGGGACUAGAAAAAGUCCUAGGACUAGAGAACCAAACACCACCUUAGAAAGUGUAGCAUCCGAUAGAGAUGAUAAUGCUCCUACUGAGUCUGACUGCACCAAAAUAGAUAGAUUAGACCGUUGGAGGGCCAGCGCUAUGUUUUGAUUUUAGGUUUGAGAUUUUUUCCGUCUAGGCCGAGAUGGCCCAAUUUCGGCCAUUUUCAAAAAUUUCGGCUGAAAUUUGACCAAAAUUUGGCAAUGACCAAUUUCGGCUUAAAGAUACUUUCCGCCCCAGGCCAAGAUGGCCGAAAUCCUUUUUUUCCGGCCGGAAAUCAAAAUACAGGGUCAGCGACAUCCCCUCCAAAAUUGUAUGGAUUUCCACUUUCAAUGCCUCGUUGCAAAAGAACAAAAGAUGGCAUGCAACAAAGAUCAGUUCGGCUGUGUUUGAUAGCAAAGUAUUAUAUAAACUAAAGUAUCAAAAACUACAGUAAUUUUGCCUGCAGGUGUGAGAUACCAUAGUUUUAUCAAAACAGAGUAUUUUGCAGUAUUCAUAAUACAUAGAACCUGUUUGGCUGUUGUCGCAUAACACUGUAAAUUUUGCUGUUUAGUCGUUGUGUUUAAGCACUCAACAACUCUGUUUUUAAAAAAGAAGUUUAGGGUUUUUCUUUUAUGCAGAGAAAAAACUGCAGUUUGUCCAAUACUAUAAUAUUAAAAGCACAGUUAUUCCGUUUAGAAAAAAAAGGCACAGUUACUAGGGGCAACCAAACACCUCAUUGUAAAUAAAACUAUGAUAAUCUCAAAAACUAUAGUAUUCUUGAAAUACUUAAAAAAUAUUUUGCUAUCAAACAGGGCUCCUGCAUUGUUCUUGAGAAUCAUUCUAGCCUCGACCAAGCCAUCAUCCGGCGAGAAAGAGCCGUCCACCGAGAGGGCAAGCCAGUCCGGUGAGGGCGGCAACCAGGGCGCUUCAGGGGAGUGCGACACCUCGAUGCCUGAAAUGCAAAGCGUAUCCACAGGGGACUUGCCGUUCAAAGAUUUGUUCAAUGCUCAAGUGCUUCAAGUCUCGCAGUGAGCUCAUAUAGCUGCACACACACACACAAAAAAAAUCUUCGACACUUCCGUUGGAGGAAUACUCCCCCCGUGGACUACAUCGCUCCGAAGGUUUUAAAUUCUCCAAAUGAUCAUGAUAAUCAUGCCACCCACCUCGCCAGGGUGAAGCGCCAAGGGGUGCAGCAACCAUUCUUCACCAGAAUUCGGAAUUUGCUCAUUCGGGGCUAUAGGCCAGAUUCCCCCAAUUGCAACCUGUAGAAUUGUAGCAUUAUCACAUAUGUAAAAACAAAUUUUGAGCUGUGAAAGGAAUCUAGGGAGCAGGACGUCUCGUCAGGUCAGGUCAUGAACAAUGAGAGACGUCAAAUCAAGUCCCAUACGUUUGAACGCGGUCUUCAACAAUGAGAUGCUCUCGUGCGCGGUCUUCUCGUUGAAUUUGCACAUAGCCAUCAACUUCGUUUGAACGCCUCAACGUCCUUCCUUCAUGGUAUAUCUCUCUCCGCUGGUGCUAGUCGAGCCCACAUGAACACGCGUGAAAAACAGAGACAAAAUUUGUACGUUUUUUUGGCGGGUCAAAAGGGAAUUUUAUUAACUCACAGAAAUAUUGUCAGUGUUACAAAGACUGGGCACCUCAUUAGGCCCCGAACGCAACCAUACUUGCAGUGCGCAUUUUUCUUCAACCAUAACUAGCCAUGUAGUGGCUCACAACAUUUUGUUUCAGUUUACAUGGGACGUGUUUGGUUGCUGUUUGCUACAGUUCCUACAUCGCAUACACUUCUCAACCCAACCUGAUUGAGCAAAAACAAACCCUAAUACUCCAUCUGCAAGUUAUUUGGUUGUCUGCAUCUAGUGUCCCUGCAUUAGGUAAUAGACAAGUGCACUUUGUUUGGUUGCCUGCAUUGGCCCAAGCGGCACAUGAACAUGACGUUUGAUUGCAUACGGCGUACAUGUUGUGCUUACUUUGUACCCUAGUUGGUGAGCUUACCCACACCUAGCACACCAACGCCACAGCACCACAAUGGCGAUGAACUGGACGAAGAAGAUAAAGUUCUCCAGCUUCAGCCCAAACUGACGAUCCACCUUGACACCUCCAACCUUGCCACUGUCAACACUCUUGUCUCCGUGCUUUCGCACCCAGUUGGAGUAAGCUUGUUCUGCUGUCUGCCUAGUCUUGAACCCUCUAUGGCUGCUGUUGCUAUACGAUGCCACUUGUGCACUGGCUUCUUCCUAUGAACUAUAAACCCCUGAAACCUUACCGAUGAACACGACAUACCACUUGCCCUAGCAAUGCACAAGAGUAAGAGUUGAAGCAGCAAAUCAAUGAAGCACACAAGUAGCAAGCAAAGUAGCCCACAAACAACAAUGGAGCAGAAGAGAAGAAGUAAAGCAUACAUGAUCAUACGACAUAACAAGUUCUACCUAGCACUACCUUGGUGUUAACCUACCACCACAUCCAAAAGAGGGUGUGCUACGUCUUGAGCUUGUGUUGGUUUUCCCCGAAGAGGAAGGGAUGAUGCAGCAGAGUAGCGUAAGUAUUUCUCUCAGUUUUUGAGAACCAAGGUAUCAAUCCAGUAGGAGCCCACGCUCAAGUCCCUCGUACCUGCACAAAGCGAUAGCUACUCCCAACCAACGCGAUUAGGGGUUGUCAAGCCCUUCACGGUCACUUACGAGAGUGAGAUCUGAUAGAUAUAAUAUUUUUGGUAUAAAGAUGCAAAGUAAAAAGUAAAAGCAAAGUAAAAAUCAAAACAAGAUUAAAGUGAUGGAGAUUGAUAUGAUGAGAAUAGACCCGGGGGCCAUAGAUUUCACUAGUGACUUCUCUCAAGAGCAUAAGUAUUCUACGGUGGGCGAACAAAUUACUGUUGAGCAAUUGACAAAAUUGAGCAUAGUUAUGAGAAUAUCUAGGCAUGAUCAUGUAUAUAGGCAUCACGUUCGUGACAAGUAGAUCGAAACGAUUCUGCAUCUACUACUAUUACUCCACUCAUCAACCGCUAUCCAGCAUGCAUCUAGAGUAUUAAGUUAAAAACAGAGUAACACCUUAAGCAAGAUAACAUGAUGUAGAGAGAUAAAUUCAUGCAAUAUGAAAUAAACCCCAUCUUAUUAUCCUCGAUGGCAACAAUACAAUACGUGCCUUGUUGCCCCUUCUGUCACUGGGUAAGGACACCGCAAGAUCGAACCCAAAGCUAAGCACUUCUCCCAUGGCAAGAACUACCAAUCUAGUUGGCCAAACCAAAUGGAUAAUUCGAAGGGACUUGCAAAGAUAACCAAUCAUACAUAAAAGAAUUCAGAGAAGAUUCAAAUAUUAUUCAUAGAUAGACUUGAUCAUAAACCCACAAUUCAUCGGUCUCAACAAACACACCGCAAAAAGAAGAUUACAUCGAAUAGAUCUCCACAAGAGAAGGGGAGAACUUUGUAUUGAGAUUCAAAGAGAGAGAAGAAGCCAUCUAGCUACUAACUAUGGACCCGAAGGUCUGAGGUAAACUACUCACACUUCAUCGGAGGGGCUAGGAUGAUGUAGAAGCCCUCCGUGAUGACGGCCCUCUUCCGGCGGAGCUUCGGAACAGGCCCCAAGAUGGGAUCUCGUGGAUACAGAAAGUUGCGGCUGUGGAAUUAGGUUUUUGGCUCCUGUUCUGAUCAUUUGGGGGUACAUGUGUAUAUAUAGGAGGAAGAAGUACGCCGGAGGAGCAACGAGGGGCCCCCGAGGCAGGGGGACGCGCCCUAGGGGGGGCGCCCCCCACCCUCAUGACCGCCUCUUUUGUUCCUUGGAGCAGGGUCCAAGUCUCCUAGAUCACGUUCAGUGAGAAAAUCAUGUUCCUGAAGAUUUUAUUCCAUUUGGACUCCGUUUGAUAUUCCGUUUCUUCGAAACACUGAAAUAGGCAAAAAAAACAGCAAUUCUGGGCUGGGCCUCCGGUUAAUAGGUUAGUCCCAAAAAUAAUAUAAAAGUGGAAAAUAAAGCCCAAUAUAGUCCAAAACAGUAGAUAAUAUAGCAUGGAGCAAUCAAAAAUUAUAGAUACGUUGGAGACGUAUCAGGCAUCCCCAAGCUUAAUUCUUGCUCGUCCUCGAGUAGGUAAAUGAUAAAAAGAGAAUUUUUGAUGCGGAGUGCUACUUGGCAUAAUUUCAAUGUAAAUCUUCUUAAUCGUGGUAUGGAUAUUCAGAUUAGAAAGAUUCAAGACAAAAGUUUAUAUUGACAUAAAAAAUACUUCAAGCAUACUAACAAAGCAAUUAUGUCUUCUCAAAAUAACAUGGCCAAAGAAAGUUAUCCUUACAAAAUCAUAUAGUCUGGUUAUGCUCCAUCUUCACCACACAAAGUAUUUAAAUCAUGCACAACCCCGAUGACAAGCCAAGCAAUUGUUUCAUACUCUAACUUUUUCAAAACUUUUUCAAUGUUCACGCAAUACAUGAGCGUGAGCCAUGGAUAUAGCACUAUAGGUGGAAUAGAAUGGUGGUUGUGGAGAAGACAAAAAGGAGGGGAAAAUAGUCUCACAUUAACUAGGCGUAUCAACAGGCUAUGGAGAUGGCCAUCAAUAGAUAUCAAUGUGAGUGAGUAGGGAUUGCCAUGCAACGGAUGCACUAGAGCUAUAAAUGUAUGAAAGCUCAACAAAAGAAACUAGUGGGUGUGCAUCCAACUUGCUUGCUCAUGAAGACCUAGGGCAAUUUGAGGAAGCCCAUUAUCGGAAUAUACAAGCCAAGUUCUAUAAUGUAAAAUUCUCACUAGUAUAUGAAAGUGACAACAUAUGAGACUCUCUAUAUGAAGAACAUGGUGCUAUUUUGAAGCACAAUAUAUGAGACUCGCUAUAUUAUGGUGCUACUUUGAAGCACAAGUGUGGAAAAAGGAUAGUAGCAUUGCCCCUUUUUAUUUAUUUUCUUUUUUUGGGCCUUUUUUCUUUGGUCUUUUUUUAUUGGGACAAUGCUCUAUUGAAUGAUGAUCAUCACACUUUUAUUUAUUUACAACUCAAUGAUUACAACUCGAUUCUAAAACACAGUAUGACUCUAUAUGGAUGCCUCCGGCGGUGUACCGGGAUAUGCAAUAAAUCAAGAGUGACAAGUAUGAAGAAAUUAUGAACGGUGGCUUUGCCACAAAUACUUAUGUCAACUACAUGAUCAUGCUAAGCAAUAUGACAAUGAUGAAUGUGUCAUGAUGACCUAGAUGGUGGAAAGUUGCAUGGCAAUAUAUCUCGGAAUGGCUAUGGAAAUGCCAUAAUAGGUAGGUAUGGUGGCUGUUUUGAGGAAGGUAUAUGGGAGGUGUAUGAUACCGGCGAAAAAUGCGCGGUAUUAGAGAGACUAGCAAAGAUGGAAGGGUGAGAGUGCGUAUAAUCCAUGGACUCAACAUUAGUCAUAAAGAACUCAUAUACUUAUUGCAAAAAUUUAGAAGUUAUCAAAGUAAAGUAUUACACGCAUGCUCCUAGGGGGAUAGAUUGGUAGGAAAAGACCAUCGCUCGUCCCCGACCGCCACUCAUAAGGAAGACAAUCAAUAAACAAAUCAUGCUCCGACUUCGUUACAUAACGGUUCACCAUACGUGCAUGCUACGGGAAUCACAAACCUUAACACAAGUAUUCUUUAAAUUCACAACUACUCAACUAGCAUGACCUUAAUAUUAUCACCUCCAUAUCUCAAAACAAUUAUCAUGCUUCAAUCUUUUCUUAGUAUUCAACACACUCAAAAGAAAGUUUCACAAAUCUUGAAUACCAAGCAUAUUAUUAUUAAGAAAAUUACCAUGCUAUUAAGAGACUCUCAAAAUAAUUUAAGUGAAACACGAGAUAUCAAUAGUUUCUUUAAAACAAAUCCACCACCGUGCUCUAAAAGAUCUAAGUGAGGCACAUAGAGCAAAAUUAUAAUGCUCAAAAGAUAUAAGUGAAGCACAUAGAGCGAAAUUAUCUAGCUCAAAAGAUAUAAGUGAAGCACAUAGAGUAUUCUAUCAAAUUUUAAUUCAUGUAUGGCUCUCUCAAAAGGUGUGUACAGCAAGAAUGAUUGUGGCAUACUAAGACACAAAGACACAAAUAAUACAAGACGCUCCAAGUAAAACACAUAUCAUUUUGGUGAAUAAAAAUAUAGCUCCAAGUAAAUUACCGAUGGAAGUGGACGAAAGAGGGGAUGCCUUCCGGGGCAUCCCCAAGCUUUGACUUUUUGGUGUCCUUGGAUUAUCUUGGGGGUGCCAUGGGCAUCCCUAAGCUUAGGCUCUUGCCACUCCUUGUUCCAUGAUCCAUCAAAAGAAUUCACCCAAAACUUGAAAACUUCACAACACAAAACUCAAAAUAGAAAACUCGUGAGCUCCGUUAGCGAAAGAAAACAAAGACUACUUCAAGGUACUGUAAUGAACUCAUUCUUUAUUUAUAUUGGUGUUAAACCUACUUUAUUCCAACUUCUUUAUGGAUUAUAAACUAUUUUACUAGCCGUAGAUUCAUCAAAAUAAGCAAACAACACACGAAAAAUAAAAUCUGUCAAAAACAGAACAGUCUGUUGCAAUCUGUAGCUAGCGCAAGAUAUGGAACCCCAAAAAUUCUAAAAUAAAUUUCUGGACGUGAGGAAUUUAUCUAUUAAUCAUCUGCAAAAAGAAUUAACUAAAUAGCACUCUUAAAAUAAAAAUGACAGCAGUUCUCGUGAGCGCUAAAGUUUCUGUUUUUUAUAGCAAGUUCAACAAGACUUUCCCCAAGUCUUCCCAAUGGUUCUACUUGGCACACACACUAAUUAAAUACAAAAAACACAACCAAAACAGAGGCUAAAUAAUUUAUUUAUUACUAAGCAGGAGCAAAAAGCAAGGAAUAAAAAAUAAAAUUGGGUUGCCUCCCAACAAGCGCUAUCGUUUAACGCCCCUAGCUAGGCAUAAAAGCGAGGAUAGAUCUAGGUAUUGCCAUAAUAGUAAGAAAGAUUAUUAAAACUCAUUUCAUAUUCUCUAUGUUCGGCAGCAAGCUUUCUUUGAGGCAAGCAAAAGUAAUCAAAAGGACUAAAUUUAAUGGGACAAAAGUCCCCAAGAUCAACCUUGGGAGGUAUAGGUUCCUCCUUCGGUCCUUCAUAAUGCACAACUAAUUCAUCAUUAUAAGCAUUCUUUUGACAGAACCUUGUAAGCCUAUAUUCAAGAGAAUAUCCUAGCUCAUUAUUUCAAAUAGCCAAAUCAUCAUUAAGUUCAGAAAUUCUAUCAACUAAAACAUUGGUAGGAACCUUUCUUCUAAGAUUUUCAUUGAAAGCAACAUAAUCUAGAGUAUUGAAAACGCAUUAUUUCUUCUUGAUCAAAGAGGAUAGCCUCUAUGGGAGGACGGCAAGCGUCCACCCUAUAAUGUGCAAAGAUUUCUUUGGCUUCUCUUAUUAUGAAUCUAAACUCACGAGCCAAAAAUAUAGUAGCGGCACGCUUAACAGAAGAAUGCUCAAUAUUAAAAUUCUAGAAAAAUCCUCUGUAUGGAAGGAUGCAUGUGCAUGAAUUGUCUUUCAAGUUCAACUACAAGCAUAGCAAUAACGUCCGCAAGGCUACUAGUUCUGUGAAGGAUAGAACUACCCAUAGAAGGUAAAGCACGGGCACAAGUAAAGAAAUCUUGAAUAACUCCUUUUCCAAUAAUAUUACCACUACCAACACGGAUUUUUUUUUGUAUGAAAGGUGGUAGGUUCUUUAGUAGGAGCAUCAGAAUUUUCCAUGAUAUUGUUAUCGCUCAUAUUGGCGAUAACCUCCCCAGUUUUAGACAUAAUGACAAGCAAGCAAACUAGCACACGAGCAAACAAGAGGCAAAUAGAGAGGGAGGAUAGGGAGAGAGAGAGGGCGAAUAAAACAGCAAGGGUGAAUUGGGGGGAGAGGAAAACGAGAGGCAAAUGGCAAAUAAUGUAAUGCGAGAGAUAGGGAUUGCGAUGGGUACUUGGUAUGUUGACUUUUUGCGUAGACUCCCCGGCAACGGCGCCAGAAAUCCUUCUUGCUACGUCUUGAGCUUGCGUUGGUUUUCCCCGAAGAGGAAGGGAUGAUGCAGUAGAGUAGCGUAAGUAUUUCCCUCAGUUUUUGAGAACCAAGGUAUCAAUCCAGUAGGAGCCCACGCUCAAGUCCCUCGUACCUGCACAAAACGAUAGCUACUUGCAACCAACGUGAUUAGGGGUUGUCAAGCCCUUCACGGUCACUUACGAGAGUGAGAUCUGAUAGAUAUAAUAUUUUUGGUAUUUUUGGUAUAAAGAUGCAAAGUAAAAAGUAAAAGCAAAGUAAAAAGGCAAAACAAGAUUAAAGUGAUGGAGAUUGAUAUGAUGAGAAUAGACCCGGGGGCCAUAGAUUUCACUAGUGGCUUCUCUCAAGAGCAUAAGUAUUCUAUGGUGGGUGAACAAAUUACUGUUGAGCAAUUGACAGAAUUGAGCAUAGUUAUGAGAAUAUCUAGGCAUGAUCAUAUAUAGGCAUCACGUCCAUGACAAGUAGAUCGAAACGAUUCUGCAUCUACUACUAUUACUCCACUCAUCGACCGCUAUCCAGCAUGCAUCUAGAGUAUUAAGUUCAAAAUAGAGUAACGCCUUAAGCAGGAUGACAUGAUGUAGAGAGAUAAAUUCAUGCAAUAUGAAAUAAACCCCAUCUUGUUAUCCUCGACGGCAAAGAUACAAUACGUGCAUUGCUGCCCCUUCUGUCACUGGGUAAGGACACCGCAAGAUCGAACCCAAAGCUAAGCACUUCUCCCAUGGCAAGAACUACCAAUCUAGUUGGCCAAACCAAACGGAUAAUUCGAAGAGACUUGCAAAGAUAACCAAUCAUACAUAAAAGAAUUCAAAGAAGAUUCAAAUAUUAUUCAUAGAUAGACUUGAUCAUAAACCCACAAUUCAUCGAUCUCAACAAACACACCGCAAAAAGAAGAUUACAUUGAAUACAUCUCCACGAGAGAGGGGGAGAACAUUGUAGUGGGAUCCAAAUAGAGAGAAGAAGCCAUCUAGCUACUAACUAUGGACCCAUUGGUCUGAAGUAAACUACUCACACUUCAUCGGAGAGGCUUGGAUGAUGAUGUAGAAGCCCUCCAUGAUCGAUGCUCCCUCCGGCGGAGCUAUGGAACAGGCCCCAAGAUGGGAUCUCGUGGAUACAGAAAGUUGCGGCAGUGGAAUUAGGUUUUUGGCUCCUGUUCUGAUUGUUUGGGGGUACGUGUGUAUAUAUAGGAGGAAGAAGUACGCCGGAGGAGCAACGAGGGGCCCACGAGGCAGGGGGGCGCGCCCUAGGGGGGGCACCCCCCACCCUCGUGACCGCCUCUUUUGUUCCUUGGAGCAGGGUCCAAGUCUCCUGGAUCACGUUCGAUGAGAAAAUCACGUUCCCGAAGAUUUUAUUCCGUUUGAUAUUCCGUUUCUUCGAAACACUGAAAUAGGCAAAAAAACAGCAAUUCUGGGCUGGGCCUCCGGUUAAUAGGUUAGUCCCAAAAAUAAUAUAAAGGUGGAAAAUAAAGCCCAAUAUAGUCCAAAACAGUAGAUAAUAUAGCAUGGAGCAAUCAAAAAUUAUAGAUACAUUGGAGACGUAUCAGGGUGUCGUCCUACCACCGCAAGUUCACCAUCAGCGUGAGGGGUUAGUAUAUACCACCUCACCGAAAUAUAUAGACCAUCAAAUAGUUUUUGAGCCCUAACUACACAAAAUGUACGUCAUCAUCGUCGCCGUCGUCGCCACCGCCAUCGUCGUCGGGGAUCAUGCAUGUUCACAGGCAACACUACUCUAGUAGUAGUGCUUGCCCAGCCAACUCCUGAGCCACAACACCCUAUGAGCGUCGGCCAUGGCAAUGAACCCAACACCUUGGGUCUUGUUGUCAAGCAGGUGGGAGAGAGCUGUCAUGAGAGCCUCAUCGCUGAAGCCACCAUGGGUCAUGACAGCGCCAUAUAGGUUAGGGUGGACAUCGAGGGGCUUGCACUCCCUGAUGGCUAUUGCCACCUCCUUCAUCGCCUCAGUCAUGCUGCAAAAGACAUUGAUCUCCUUCUUUAUCAGGCCUCCUCUCUUUCUCUUCCUAUCAUGGACGGGGUCAAAUGGCUUGUCGAAGGGCUUCACAAAGGGCUUGUCAGGGCCAUCAAGGACCUCGACGUCCGGGGUCCUAGGGAAGUCUGGCAUGGGACAACCAAGAGGCUCCCCCGAGCCCAUGGCAUGCUUCCCAGUUGCCAGCCCAAAGGAGAAGAUGUGUUGCAUCUGGCUGUAGUUCUGUAUGGGUGUGUUGAGGAACUCCGCGUCCUUUGGGUGGUCCUAAGAAUGAAACACAAGUGUUGUUAGUUGCGAUUAUGAGUAGGCAAUGGUGGACAAUAUGAAAAGGAAGAGGGCUGUGAGCUAACCGCGACAUGGCCGGCGUAGUGCUCUGCCUCCAGAACUAUGGAGCAAGUGUUUUCAUCCCAUGAUGUGCCGCUAAGGUCUCUCAGCUUGGAUACUUGGAUCCAUCGACUUCUUCACUUCCUCAGGUGGUUGUACACCUGGGUGGCAGACACCUCCUGCCCAUAGAACUCGAACACCUGCUUCGCAAUGGUGUUUAAGUGCACCUUCUUGAAGCCCUUGUCAAUCCUAACUCCACUAGAGAUGAGCUCACACACCUUGUUCAGCGCGAACGUGGACAUGAACGGCUGCCACUUCAUGUUCUUUGACCUACCAUCCUUAUUUGCCUUUGCUGCUGCUACCUUCAGUGCAGUGGUGGUAGCAGCAGCAUGAGUUGGCUCAAUGAGUACUACUGGCACAUAGAGGGAAUCAGAUGCGAACACCACUAAAUCAAGUACCAUCUCGGACAUAGGCUACGAGUCCUCGACAAACGAUGGAGCAAACUGGCUGUCAGAAAGGACAAGGGCCUGACUAAGAUCUUGCGUUUGCAUGGUCAUGUCCUACAAUCGUAGCAUGCAUUGACAGUAAGCAUAUCACACAACAUAUCAGACAACCCAUGAAAGCAGAGCAUACAUGUACAUGGUUCAUCACUAUCAUAACAAGCACAUGCUUCAUCGCUAAAAUACUAAGCAUACCGGACAAUCUAUGAGCAGGAACAUACAUCUACAACAAACAACAUGCUACAAAUGGACCACCAAUAGCUACAAAUCGUAGAUCUAAGCACGAUUCAACACAAGCACAAGGUUCAACUUCAAACUCUACUACUAAUCUAGCCUACCACAUGCUUGAAUAUCUAGCCCUACCACAAAUUGCAACCGCAGCAUAGCAAUCAACCAUAUCAGCUCACAUAUCAGACCACUAAUCAACCAUGCAUCUAGAUCAAACCCUAACUACAGCUCAGGUCUAGCUAGAAGGAACAGAGAGAAAGGAAAAUUGAACUCAUAGAGGCCAUGGCUGCAGCUCGAGGAUGAGGAGGGACGGUCGUGGAAGAUCAACGCCGGCCGGUGAAGGAGCGCCGACAUCGUGGACCGCCAGCCGAUGAAGAUGCGCCGCUUACCUGCUCGUCGAUGCCAAUGCGCGUCGGCGGGAAAGCUCGAGCGGAGGGAGAAUGGUGGCGGGAGUUGGGGCGGUGAGGGAGGGGCUAAACCGGGGUGGACUCGGCGGGAGGUGAGCCGAAAUCCUCCCGUCGAUUUUUCGGCGACACGGGCGAGCUCGCGCCAUCUCCCUGCUUGCACGAGGGGAGAAGCGCGUCGCGCCCCCUGCCUCGCCCGAGCCAGGCUCGCGAGCUACUGCCGAUUCGGGCAUUUUCCCUAGGCCUGGCCUGGACGUGCUUUAAGUUCCGUGUGAUGCGGGCUGCACAGUGAUCGCAGGUAACCUAACGGGCUCAAUCUUCCCCGCACGGGCCAGGCUGGGCCAUAUGCAGGCAACCAAACACGCCCAUGAGUGAUCUCAACCUUUCUAUUCUGCUUCAACAAGUUUUUUAGGGGAAAAUUGAUGACACUUUAUUACUUAGAGCCGUGACAAUGUCGCUAAGAUAGUUUGGAGAAAUAGUAAAUCAAGUCUUAGCCAUCUUAUUUAGGCAGCCUUUCCUAGUUAGAUCAUGCGCCGCCCGGUUGACAGAGCAUCUAGCACAUCACACUCUAUAAUCACCCACUGAGAUGAGAAGUUCCUUGACCUCUUCGAGGUGAGGGCCAUACAUCGGUCUAUCCAACUCCUCUAGCUUUAGAGCUUGCAUCGCCCCUAGUUGUUUGUCUCCAGCAUGAUCUUCUCGGCACCAACUUCCAACGCAAGCUGGACUCCUCGCGGACACGCCAUGAGUUCCGCAUGCAUGGAAUCAGCGAUAAAGAAAAAAAAUGGCAUGAGCCUCCCAUGAACAUACCAUGAUGGUCGCGAACGACCGCUCCCCCGCCGCCCAAGCCAUCCAUCUUCGCAAUUGCCCCGUCAAUGUUCACCUUGAGCCAACCCAGCUCAGGAGGAUGUGAAGGCUCUGUUAGCUUUCCUCCCUGAACGACCAGUGAGGAGGAAUGAAUUUCGGGCCACUCCUCUAGCAGUCGCCAAAACUGGUCGACCAGUAAACGGACUUCUUCAGUCAUUUUCCCAUCUCGAGUUGUGUUUCUAGAGAACCACAUGUGAUACAUCGUCAUGAUCAUCACAAGUUUGUCCGCUUCUCUCGCUUUACCAAACCAAUCCAGCAGACAACUCUUUAACUCUUGAUGCAAAGGCACAACGAUUGGAGGGGAGAACACAUCAUCCCCUCUAUCUGCAUUGACCAAGCACCAACAGUGGUGAGCAUAUGGACAUGUCCAAAAGCGAUGAAGAGCUGUCUCAUCCUGCUCGCAAACUGAAAAAAGCACCCUCCUUAAUAUGGCGCCUAUGCAACUUUGCUCCCACUGCUAGCCCGUUAUGGAUGAGCCUCCAUGUGUGAAUUUUAGCCUUGGCCAGAACAUCUAAGCCCCACAGCUCCAACCAGCCUCUGUGUCCGGACACCGAGGAGGACCUCUCAGGGGCACACACCUUCACCUGCUUGAGAUCCAUGCAGAGAUGGUAAGUAGAGCAUACCAAAAAGAAUCAUUCUUAGUGUGGUUCCAGGUUGGGUAGUCCUCCCUCCUCGGUCCUCCGAUUGGUACAUGCAAGAUGUCAUCCAUGUCGCUCCUGUGGAAGGAACGCUCCAAUGAUGCAACAUCCCACUCCUUCCUAGUGUAAUUGAUCAAAUGGUCUGAGAGGAUUACUCACACAUCACAACCAGAGCACAAAUGGAAAACAUUGUAGAUGGCAUUGAAGAGGAAUGAUUGUAUAAAGUCUUACAAUGUCACUAUAUGCGAUGGACCGAUUACAAGUAUGGCAAACUACGGGGAGAAUAUCUAAGGAGAUGGUGGCGGCUAGGUUUUUUUGGGAAUGGUGAUGGUGAUCCUAAGCUCUUGUUGGCGAUGUUCUCGAUGUUCUGGACAUUCUGUUAUGAAUGGGGCAUCAAGCCUGUUAUAAAGUGUGUCAGGCACUGGCGGAGCUACAACAAGGCCAAAUGGGCCAUGGCCUGCCCAACUCAUGGCCAAAACUGUGAAGAGUAGAGAAAAAACUGGGCCUUUGAGAGGAAAAACGUGUUUCCUUCAUCUUGGCCCACCAAACAAAUCUUUUGUAGCUCCGCCAUUGGUGUCAGGGAGGACGCCAUGGGAGAUGCUGGCACCUAGUACGAGCACUGGUAUGACUGGGUGUGUUUGUACCAGACGUUGUCUUCUCUCCUGGAUCCUCUGUGAUGCGUCAAGUUGGCUUGGCUUGAUCUCCGCACUUUAUAUUUCCAUGUAUAGCUCCAUUUCAUGUGGAAAUAAUUACACAAAGGGGUUUGAAAUCUUUUGUAUUUGUUAGUCAUUAGCAAUAAGAUCAGAGUGAUUUUUUGGGAAUAUCCAGGAUUAUCUCGUUUAAACAAUAGUGAAGUGAGUGUAAAGAAUACACUCAUCAAUGGCACGACCGUCGGCAUAAAAUAAGUCCUCCCCGCCUCAUCCUCAUUGCGAUGGUGAUUCUUGGCAUUGUUGGGAGCCGUGUGGAGAGUUGUGUGUCACUAGAUCUGAUUUUUCGGGCAUGCUUUUUCUUCUACAUAUUUGUGUGAGUGGUUUUGUACUGCAGAGCUGAUGGCGCUGUUGUGCAUCGUGAUCCUCUGACUCUAGUUCCGACCGGGUAGUUUGGCCAGGUUCGGCCUUGCAGGGUAUUGCGGAGUAUGUGAGAGUUGUGUUUCCUGCAAAAAAAAGUGUUCCCCGCUUCAGUCUCGCCAGACCUGGGGCAUUAUACAUGCCUUCCCCACUUUAUUUUCCCUCUGGGGCGUCCAUUUGCUUUGUAGCUCGUGUUCGUCAGCAUCUUCUGGUCUAGAUCGACGACUUCUCAGCCAUUACUUCUACAAGCUAAUGAAUUUAAACGUUUUUUCUCUAUCGAGUAUGGAGACAUAGGUCUAAGAUGUGGCAACGAUCUUUGUCCAUGACACAUCAUCAAUGGAUGCAGGAGGAAGAAGACUUCGACACCCCAAAUAUUUAUAUAUAUAUAUAUAUAUAUAUAUAUAUAUAUAUAACUUUUUGUAAGAGCAUCUCCCACCGUUGGCCCCCUAGGGGGCGCGUAAAAUCGCCGCCUGGGGGCGAACCGGCGCUAAAAAUCAGCGUGGGGGCUUUCGGGUUCCCAGCCGCCGGCCCCAGGGUCGCCCCCAGAAGGCUUUUUUUAAAAAAGGAAUUCGGCUAAAGUUCGGCAAACGGGACAAAGAUUCGGCUAAAAUUCGGCAAACAUGACUUACAUAAAAAAGUUUUUAGUACUUAAAAAAUGGCCGUAACUACAACUACGGGCCGAAGAACGCGCUGAGCGCGGCAAAGUCGUCGACAUCGCCACCAUCCUCGCCGUUGUCCUCGUUGUCCCUCUCCUUGACGCGGCCACCCCUGGCCACCCUUGCUGGACCCCUGCCCGGCGUCGCCCCGGCGGACCGGUGGCGGCGGCGCGUCAUCGUCACUGUCAUUGAGGGAGUCCUGGACUAGGGGGUCCUCGGGCGUCCGGCCUGUUAGCCAUGGGCCGGACUGAUGGGCUAUGAAGAUACGAAGACCAAAGACUGUACCCGUGUCCGGAUGGGACUCUCCCUAGCGUGGAAGGCAAGCCUGGCGACGGAAUAUGAAGAUUCCCUCCUUUGUAACCGACCUUGUGUAACCCUAGAUCCUCCUGGUGUCUAUAUAAACCGGAGGACUUAGUCUGGGUGGGCGAUACUCAUUAUAAUAGCCAUACAAGCUAGACCUCUAGGGUUUAUCCAUUACGAUAUCGAGGUAGAUCAACUCUUGUAAUACUCAUAUUCAUCAAUAUCAAUCAAACAGGAUGUAGGGUAUUACCUCCAUAGAGAGGGCCCGAACCUGGGUAAACAUCGUUUCCCUUGUCUCCUGUUACCAUCGACCCUAGAUGCAUAGUUCGGGACCCCCUACCCGAGAUCCACCGGUUUUGACACCGACAUUGGUGCUUUCAUUGAGAGUUCCACUGUGUUGUCGCCGAAAGGUUUGAUGGCCCCUUCAAUCGUCAAUAAUGACGCUGUCCAAGGAGAAACUUUCCUCCCCAGACAGAUCUUCGUAUUCGGUGGCUUCGCACUGCGGGCCAAUUCGCUUGGCCAUCUGGAGCAGAUCGAAAGCUACGCCCCUGGCCAUGAGGUCAGAUUUGGGAGCCUGAACUACGCUGUGGACAUCCAUGGAGACUUGAUCUUCACCGGAUUUGAGACCGCGGCUACUACCCCCGGUCACCCCGAUGAUCAUGACCUAAAUCUGUCAUCAGACCGCAUCCAGGAUAUCACUCCUAUAACCACUCUGGCCUUAGAGCCAGAGCAGACUACGCCAUCCGAGGACGGGAGGAUCAACUCCACCGCGGAGGCCAUAGAUUCCGCGGCGUUGGAGCCGCACAUAGACUUAACCUCUCAUGACAUCUUUGUCACCGGAACUCCGGACUUGUCUUUGGCUGUAAGUUCCGAACCACGUGAGCCCGCGGAUGCCAAACUUGAUCGUUUAUUGAUCUUCGAGUUCAGCGCCGCAGACGUCUUCCAGCACUCGCCUUUGGGCGAUGUGCUAAGCUCGUUAAAGAACCUGUCCUUGGCAGAGGAUUCAGAGCCGAACUAUAUCCGGUUCGAACUAGGGGCUGGUAGUGGAGAAUUUUGCUUCCCACCCGCCACCCACUUCAUCGCCACGGUCGAGGAUUUGACCGACACACUUGAUUAUGACUCCGAAGACAUCGACGGUAUGGACGACGAUGCCGAAGAAGAGGAGGCCCAGAACCCGCCGUUCACCGGAUGCUGGACGGCCACUUCCUCGUAUGAUGUAUACAUGGUGGAUGCACCAAAGGAAAACAGCGGCAAUGACAAGGAAGAUCCAGCCGAGGAUAAACCUUCCGAAAUACAAUCCAAGCGCCGGCGUCAGCAGCGCCGCUCUAAGUCAUGCCGCAGUAAAGACAACAACACCGGCACAGGAGAAGAUAAUACUCCAGAAGGUGCCGAAGACAACGAAGACCCCAUUGAAACAACUAAUGAACAAGAUGAACGGGAAGAUGGGCAGGCUAGCCCCGGCAAGCAGGCCACGCACAAGAACUCAGAGGAAAGAAGUUAUCUUCCGCUCUCCGAGGAUGAGGUGAGCCUUGGCACCGAUGAUUUCAUCGUGCCCGAGGAACCUCUGGAGCAGGAGUGCUUCAAGCGCCAGCUAAUCGCCACUGCAAGGAGCCUGAAAAAGAAGCAGCAGCAGCUUCAAGCUAACCAAGAUCUGCUCAAUGAUAAAUGGACGGAUGUCCUAGCAGCCGAAGAGUACAGCCUCAAGCGCCCAACCAAAAGCUACCCAAAAUGCAAAUUUCUACCUUAGUUUGACGAGGAGGCGCCGAACUACAUACCUCCAUCGUACAAUGUGGCUGACCGGCCACCACGUUGCCGAGACAAAACGGCAACUCACACCGAACACCAUCCAGUCUCGCCUCAGCGCACAGGUAGAGGUAAAUCAACCCACGGUCAUACAUAUGACCUCUGACAAAACCUGAACAAUAAAGCAGGACAUACUAGAUCAAUCUUCGGAUCACGAGGACGUUCCUCGACACGCGACGACGGCCAUCUAUUCGGACGUGACAAACUUAGUCAUGCAUGGGCUGAAAACCGCAGACGGACUCCAUCAAAGCUACGUCGCGAUACGACCUGAUAUAGAGGUGCUGCACACCCUCAUUGAUUCACUGAUGAGGUCCUGGAUCAUGAAUUCCCAGAAGGGUUCAAACCCGUGAAUAUAGAAUCAUACGAUGGAACCACGGACCCCGCGGUGUGGAUCGAAGACUUCAUUCUCCACAUUCAUAUGGCCCACGGCGAUGACCUCCACGCCAGCAAAUAUCUCCUAUAAAACUCAAGGGGCCAGCUCGGCAUUGGCUCAACAGUCUGCCCGCAUAUUCUAUUGGCAGCUGGGAGGACUUGGAAGAGGCCUUCCUCGAUAACUUCCAAGGUAUAUAUGUUCGACCUCCGGACGCUUAUGACUUAAGUCAUAUAAUUCAAUAGCCCAGAGAGUCCGCCAGGAAAUUCUGGACUAGGUUCUUAACUAAAAAGAACCAAAUCGUCGAUUGUCCAGAUGCCGAAGCCCUAGCAGCCUUCAAACACAACAUCCACGACGAAUGGCUCGCUCGCCACCUCGGCCAAGAAAAUCCAAAAUCCAUGGCAGCCCUCACGACACUCAUGACCCGCUUUUGUGCGGGCGAGGGCAGUUGGUUGGCCCAUAGCAAAAACAAUGCAAGCGACGCCAGCACCCGUUAAGCUAAAACUAGCAAAGACAAGUCUCGAUGCAACAGAUACAAGCGUCGAAACAACAGUGAUAACACCGAGGACACGGCAGUCAAUGCCAGAUUCAGGGGCUCUAAGUCCGGUUAGCGGAAGAAGCCAUUCCAAAAGAACGAUUCAGGCCCAUCCAGCUUGGACCGCAUACUUGAUCGUCCGUGCCAGAUUCAUGGAACCAUAGACAAGCCACCCAAUCAUACAAAUAGAGAUUGUUGGGAUUUUAAAUAGGCCGGCAAAUUAAACGCCGAGAACAGGGAAAAAGGAUCACAAAGCGAGGACGAUGACGAAGAGCCCCAGCAACCGAACAUAGGGGGACAGAAGAAGUUUCCCCCUCAGGUCAAAAUGGUGAACAUGAUAUACGCUACCCACAUCCCCAAGAGGGAGCGCAAGCAUGCGCUCAGGGACGUCUACGCGAUAGAGCCAGUCGCCCCAAAAUUCAAUCCAUGGUCGUCAUGCCCGAUCACCUUUGAUCGCCGAGAUCAUCCGACCAGUAUCCAUCAUGGUGGCUCAGCCGCAUUGGUCCUAGACCCAAUAAUUGAUGGGUUCCACCUGACUCGCGUCCUUAUGGAUGGAGGUAGCAGCCUUAAUCUGCUCUAUCAGGAUACAUCGCAAAAAAUGGGCAUUAACCCAUCUCGGAUCAAGCCCACCAGGGCUACCUUCAAAGGAGUCAUACCAGGUGUAGAGGCCCGCUGUACGGGCUCAAUCACACUAGAGGUUGUCUUUGGAUCUUUGGACAAUUUUUGAAGCGAGGAGCUAAUCUUCGAUAUCGUCCCCUUUCGCAGCGGCUAUCACGCACUGCUCGGACGAACCGCGUUCGCUCGAUUUAACGCAGUACCACACUAUGCUUACCUCAAGCUCAAGAUGCCUGGUCCACGCGGUGUCAUAACAGUCAACGGAAAUACGGAACGCUCCCUCCGUACAGAAGAGUGCACAGCUGCCUUAGCAGCAGAAGUACAGAGCAGUCUUCUCAAGCAGAACCUUAAUUCGGCUGCCGAGCCCACGAACACCGUUAAGAGGGUCUGAACUACUCUGCUACAGGAGACCUCGGCUCAUCAGGAGCUCGACUAGCAAUCCGGCCUCCGUCGCAGUUCUGAUCAAGUGGUGGCAUUCGUGCCGCACGCACAUAACUACGCACUCAAAAUCCCAUGGGCAUCGACGGAGGCAUCGCUAGAUUGUGGUCCGUAGUACGGCUCAACCGACAUCGGAUACACAAAUACUUUUACCUUUACUUGUUUCCUUUUCAAGUCUCAAUCCCAUAGGCACCAUCUGAUGGCCUCGUCAUCGGUCCUCUUGAAGGAUAAAACACACCAACACGGCGAGAAACGCAGACAUAUGGGGGACUUUCUAGGUGAUUCUGUUAACGAUAACUUUACCUGUUUUUCAGGACCCACAUGUAGCUCUCCCUUGGUUUCAGCAUGUCAAAUAGCAUGUUGCAUAUUGCACUACUUGUAUCAAUGCACCUUGACAUACUAAUUAAAUUACAAUGAGAACAGUUUGCGGCUGGAGCUGCAGGACUCCAGCUUUUUACCUUUGUACCUUUUCUGGGUUUUUUUCCAGUUCCCCUGUGGAUAACCCUAUCAGGUAGCACCCGUACACUUUGGUAUGUUUCAUGUUCGCCAGGGGCUGCACGACACCCCCACAUUACGACAACACAAGUCCGAACACUUUUCAUAAGUAUAGUUCGGCACCCCGAAUUUAGCAUUAUAUGCAUUGGCUCCGAAUCAUGUCUUUGAUCAAUAGUUGGGUUGCCCGGCUCCUGUGCUUGCUACCUUACGUUCCGCUAUAUCGACUAAGGAAGUAAAGGGAGAACUACUGCGAUUGUGCCUUGGUUUAUCCAAAGGAGCACCUCAGUAGAGAAAGCCUAAAACUGACUGUCAUGAUGCGGCGAGAGCCGGUCAGCUAUUCAGAGGUUGUAAAUCGUUGGAGAUUUCUUCCGCAUUACGUGAAGGAUUGGCACUUCCCCACCAGACACUUAUAGCACUCUAGUUCGGAUACUAGGGGCCGCGCCCAUGUUUUUAUUGUCGCACUCCUAUGGCUAAGUGAGGGCGUUACAACCGCAUAGUCUGGUCGCCUGGUUCGUUGCGCUAAACAACUCCUUCAAGGACCAUCUAAUUGUAUCAAGAUUGUUUAGAUUCCAUCCCGAACACCCCCGUACUACCUAUGUGGGGGCAGAAGCCGAUGACUGGUUAACCUUCAGAUUUCAUACAACAGGCCGCACAGGAAGUAAAAAUUUAAAAACGUAACAAGCAUUAUAUUGCAUAAACACUUUGUUUUAUCAUAGAAGGCAGAGGGAGAUCGCAUACAUUCAUUCAAAGAUAGUGUCUUUCGCAUAGUGAUCUGCAACAAUGCGGGAUCCCUCUAGGACACCAUCAAAAUACAACUCGGGUCGGCGGUGCUCCUUGCCCUCAGGUGGCCCCUCGUUCGUUAGCUUCUUGGCAUCCAUCUUCGCCCAGUGCGUUUUGACGCGGGCAAAGGCCAUCCGUGCACCUUCGAUACAGACCGACCGCUUUAUAACAUCAAGCCCGGGGCAGGCAUCAACAAGCCGCUUCACAAGUCCGAAGUAGCUGCUAGGUGUCGGCGCGACAGGCCAUAGUCGGACUAUCAGCUCCUUCAUGGCUAGCUCGGCCGCCUUGUGCAGCUCGACCAGCUGUUUCAGCUGGUCGCUGAAGGACACCGGAUGUUCGGGCACAAGAUAUUGAGACCAAAUCAGCCUCUUCGUAGAACUCCCCUCAUCGACUCGAUAGAACUCGGCAGCGUCUGAUACGCUGCACGGCAAAUCCGUAAACGCCCCUGGAGAGCUCCAAAUCCGAGUAAGUAAAAGGAACGCUUCCUUCACAAACUUGCUUUGCAUAAUGAAAGCCAUACCCGCCGUGAUCUUCUGGGCCGCCAGGAUUUCCUGAAGGGUGCUCUGGGCUUCGGCUCGGACCUCCUGCAUGCUCUGGAGGGCCUUCGCAAGUUCGGACGCUUGCGUCUUGGAAUCACGCUCCAAGGACUCACACUUCUUGACGGCGUUCUGUAGCUCUUGCUGAACCUCGCCGGCCCGGGCUUUGUGCUUCUCACACGCGAUGCGUUCCUUGGCCGCCUUGUCCUCGGCCUUCUCUAACGCCUUCUUGAGGGCCGCCACCUCGGUCGUGGCCCCUAAUAAAGUUCAUGGCACUUUAGUCAGCACAAACCAUUCAUCCUUUCUAAAUAUACAUGCAGGUUACUACAUACCUUUGCUGUUCUCCAGCUGCUUCUUCAUGAGGCCGAGCUCUUUCUCGGCCCGCUCCAGGCUCUGCUUCAGUCCAGAGACCUCCGCAGUGUGAGCAGCAGCAGCCAGUAGCGAUGCCUACUUAUUCACAUAGACAUAUUAUGUUAGACUCCUGCGAAAAUUAUUUUGAUCCCUUGUUCGGCUUUUCCUUUCCGGACACCGAACAGAGCAUCAGGGGCUAUUGUGCAUAUUGUGAUAUUUUUUCUACAAUUGUUACCUCAAAGCCUAUUAAAAGGCUAGCACAGGCCUCGGUCAGUCCGCUUUUGGCAGACUGGACCUUUUUGAUCACCGCACCCAUAAGGGCACAAUGCUCAUCCAUAAUGGAGGCGCCUCACAGCGCUUCCAGCAGAUUAUCCGGUGCCUCUGGUUGGACAGAGGUCACCGGUGGAACAGGCACACCUCCUCCUUUCGGGGAAGGCAGUUCCCUGGACUCCGGAGCCGUGUAGGUCUCCGGAAUGGUAUCCGACUGAGGGCCGAAGGGAACUUGGACCCCAUUGCCAGUCCCUAGGAGGGAUUUCCCCCCAUGUGUCCGACAGCCAAGGAGUCAUCCUGGGGCGCCACCUUAACAAUUUCUGGAAUCUCCCCUGGUCUGGGAAGAUCCUUUGGGAUGCCACCUCGUCAUCACCCUUGGGUGAGGCAGAAUGAGCGGGCGAUGGAGACAUGCUAGCCAUCUCCUUUGAGUCUAGAGAAUCCUCUGUCGAGGAUCGCAGGGAGCCGUCGUGGGCCAUACUUUAAUGGCAUAGUUUAAACAUAUUAAUAUUAUAAACUAGAAAGGCCAGGUAUUGGGAGGUGCAUAGGGUUUUGGUACUUACGAGGCAGCCUGAGGCUUGGUCUGGGGCAUUCGCUCUGGACUGCUUUCGACAUCCCAUGCGGAGUUACCCGCAAGGGAGCCCUUCCCCCUCUUGGGCGCCUUCACCUCCAAUUUUGUGGAGGCCUCUCUUUUCUUAUUUCCCCCUCUAAGGGGAAGCCGUCUUCUUCUUCCUCCUUGCCGUUGUCUUCGGCGACCGAAGAGUCAGUCUCGUCUUCGGACGACAUGUGCGAAGCACUCUUUCAGCGAAGGCCGCUCCUACUCCCUUUGGUCGUCUUAUUGGCCUUCUUUUCCGGCACAUCAUAGGGUGCCGAAAAUAGCAUCUUCGUUAGAAGUGGGGUUUCCUCAUCUUCGGGAAGUGGAGUUGGACAAUUAAUCUGCCCCGCUAUGUCGAUCCAGGCCUGAAAAUUGAUAGGAAGGCUUAGACUCCUUCCCAAAAUAUGCCAGUAAAGGCUAUACCUUGAAUACAUGAAAGAACAUACCAAAUUGGCCUGGCGCUUUAAGCUGAGCCCACGAUCUUCGGUCAUGGGCGGUGGUGUCUCGCCGGCCUUGAAGAGCACUUGCCAGAUAUCUUCAUGCGUUGUGCCGAAGAGCUCUAGUAGCGUCUGGUGCUUGGCCGGAUCGAACUCCCACAAAUAGCAAGUCCAGCAUUGGCACGAAAGGAUCCGGCGAAUGAGCAUAACCUGGAUCACAUUGACGAGUUUGAUCCUCUUGGUUAUCAUGUUCUGAAUGCACGUCUGGAGCCUAGUCAGCUCGCUUGAAGAACCCCAGGUGAGGCCCUUCUCUUGCCAGGAGGUGAGCCGUAGCGGAGCUCCGGAUCUAAAUUCGGGGGCCACCGCCCAGUUGGUGUCGUGCGGCUCGGUGAUGUAGAACCACCCCGACUGCCACCCCUUCACUGUCUCCACAAAGGAGCCUUCGGGCCAUGUAACGUUGGACAUCUUGCCCGCCAUGGCACCUCCGCACUCUGCCUAUUGGCCUCUCACCACCUUCGGCUUUACAUUAAAAGUCUUCAGCCAUAGGCCGAAGUGAGGUAGGAUACGGAGGAAGGCCUCACAAACGACUAUAAAUGCCGAGAUGUUGAGGACAAAGUUGGGGGCUAGAUCGUGGAAGUCUAGCCCGUUGUAAAACAUUAGUCCGCGGACAAACGGGUGGAGAGGGAAUCCCAGCCCGCGAAUGAAAUGUGCGAGAAAUACAACCCUCUCAUGGGGCUCUGCGGUAGGGACGAUCUGUCCUUCGGCCGGGAGACGGUGAACGAUCUCCUUGGCCAGGUAUCCGGCCCCUCGAAGCUCCUUGAUGUCUUUCUUCUUGACAGAAGAAGCCAUCCACUUGCCACCAACUCCAGAUCCGGACAUGGUUGGAGUGCUUUCUCCGGCAGGGGAAGCUAGGGCUUGGGCGCUGGAGCUCUAGAAUGGAUGAGCGGAGGAAGGGGACGACAGGGGUGAGUGAGGAUGAAUCCUUAUCCCCUUAUAAAAGCCGCGAAUAUCAAGCGCCUCCCUGCUCGCCUUAAAACUUGCCUACUCCCAAGGGUUGUGUAAACGGCACGGUUGGGUUACCCACGCCCGUAUUGGUGAGAAUCCCGUAAUAAGGGGACACGAUCUCUGCUUUGACAAGACGUGCCAAUGGAAACCGCAUCUCGAAACAUGGGAUGGCAGACAAAAUAGUUUGAUAUGGUGACCGGGCAGACGUGAUGUCAUAUUGUAAAAAAUUAUUAGCAGAUUGGAUUCGUAAAAUAUUAUAUUCUCUCUGUGAUUUUGUGUGGUGUGAGUUACAGGUCCAGAUAUAUUGGUAAGACCGAAGACUGUUUUGGAGUUCGGAAAGAGGGGAACCCGCCUUGCAAUGCUGAAGAAAAAUCUGCGCGCUGGACUCCUCAUCAUUGAAGCCAGGUUUAGGGGCUACUGAGGGAGUCCUGGACUAGGGGGUCCUCGGGCGUCCGACCUGUUAGCCAUGGGCCGGACUGAUGGGCUAUGAAGAUACGAAGACCGAAGACUGUACCCGUGUCUGGAUGGGACUCUCCCUGGCGUGGAAGGCAAGCUUGGCGAAGGAAUAUGAAGAUUCCCUCCUUUGUAACCAACCUUGUGUAACCCUAGAUCCUCCUGGUGUCUAUAUAAACCGGAGGACUUAGUCCGGAUAGGCGAUACUCAUUAUCAUAGCCAUACAAGCUAGACCUCUAGGGUUUAGCCAUUACGAUCUCGAGGUAGAUCAACUCUUGUAAUACUCAUAUUCAUCAAUAUCAAUCAAGCAGGACGUAGGGUAUUACCUCCAUAGAGAGGGCCCGAACCUGGGUAAACAUCGUGUCCCUUGUCUCCUGUUACCAUCGACCUCAGACGCAUAAUUCGGGACCCCCUACCCGAGAUCCGCCGAUUUUGACAUCGACAGUCAUUGUCGAGGAUGACGACGCCUCCCUCGUUGCGGCCACGGCGCCGAGCGGCUCGUAGGCGCAGCAAUGGCGCUCCAGCUCCGUCCGCACCCAGUCUUCGCGUGCCCACUUCAAGGCCCCCGAGUUGUCGAGCUCCUCCUUCACGCUGCCGGCGAGCCCUGGCUCCAUCUUCACGGUGAUGAGCCCUGACUCCGUCUUCGGCUUGAUGUAGCGGGGAGGAGCCGAGGAGGAGGCGCGCCCGCCGCCCUCGUUGAUGAUGAUGCCGGCGCUGCGGGUGCGCCGGCCGAGCGGCGUCUCCACUGCGGGCUCUACCUGACGCCGAACACCACUGACUAGCCGGAGGAGUGGGAAGAGGAGGAGCCGAACCUCCUGGGUAUCCAUUGCCUGGCGCUCCGGCGGGGGACCGGGCGGUGGCUGCGGCAGGGUAUGUUAGCGGCGGGUCGUUGCCACCCUCGAGGUGCUGGAGAACCUUGUGGAGCGUGCGGCCGGGGGUGCCCCACGACAGGCGGUGCCCCUCACUGUUCUUGACACCCUAACCAUCGGCGCCCCGUUGGUGGAGGCCAGCCGCUGCGCGUGCCGGUGCUAGAAGUACGCCGCCCACGCCUCCGCCAGCGUGCUGCGGGAGGGCGUGCUGCUCCUCCGCCAGCGACGCCCGCACGCGGUCGACCUCGUCGGAGAAGUAGUUAGCGCGCGUUGACGUCUGGCAUCGGGGGAAUGGGGACACCACCGCCGCUGAGCCUCCACCCGCCCGGCCCUUCGCGCACGUCGGGCGGCGCUGAGAUGUUGGCCUCGAAGAGCAAAUACGCCUCCCACCCGUGCAGCGAGCGGCGGCCGAAGCCGUUGGCUGCCGCCGCAUCGCCGGGGAAUCACUCGCCCAUCGUCGCGGCUGUGCUUGGGGAGAGAGGGCAGGAUCAUCAGUGGCGGUUGCACACGGGGAGAGAGAGGCAGAGCACGGCGGGGGGUGGCCAGAGGUGAGGGGGAGGCGUUGAUUUUAUAUCCGCCCAGCGCCAUGUGUACGCAUGAUGGGAGGGAGGGGGUCACCGCGCCGCCCAUGAGGAAUCAAUGGAAGGCUGCUGGCGGCAGCCUUGGCAUUGUUCCCCACGGGAAACCGAGGCGUUGUGAGGACGACGAGGCGAUAGUGUCCCUGACUUGUCGGGCCCGCAGUUAGUUCACGCCAAAAUCGCUCGCCCCGGCGCCCCCGGCGUGCCGGGUUCGGCCUGGGUCCGCUGGCCCCAAUUUCGGCCCAACCCGCCAAAAAGGGCUCCUGGGGGCGCGACUGGACCAACUUUCGCCCACAGGCGCUAAAGAAUCGCCUGGGGCGUGUUGGGGGCGCGGCUGAAGAUGCUCUAAGGAUGUUUUUGUAAAGUUUCACGCUAGACCUAUGGCCUUUCCGUGCAAAAAAACAUGUACGACAAGUUGUCCGCCGCCUAAGUAGCAUGCUAACUACAUUGAUAAAUUUGAACAACCAUUUGCUAACAUUUUUUAACAACCCAGAAUAUCUUUAUUCUUUAGUUGACAAAUGGUCAUAACACCAUGGAAACCUAGUUUUGUAUGCAAUACUGAUGAUACGGUCAAAAGUCAACAGAUUCUACUACACAAUAUCACAUCUAGCUCUCCUCACGAGAAACCCCUCCCAAGACGAGGGUGCUAUCGCCUCCCGUCGGUGCUGCCGCUGAUCCGCCUUGUCUCAGGUGGCCUUAGGACCAUAAAGGUGUGGUAGGCUCUCGCCGGUGGAAGGGCUCUGCUCCAUUUUAGCUCCUUUUUUAGGGUUAAUUAGGAUUUGUGUCCUAUUCAGAGAAGUGAGACGGCGGCGGCUCCCUGUAGCUGAAAUAAGUUCCUCCCCGCCUAGUCCCCAUUUCGGUGGUGCAUACAACAUUAUUGGAAGGCGUGUGGAGGUGUGUCUUCGGUGGAUCUCAUGGGACUCGAUCGGUAUUGGUCUUAGGUGGAUCUCCAUGGGUCCAGUCUUAUUCCGUUCGUGUGUCUACAUGUUGGAUUCUUUUGUCUGCGCUUCUCUUCAUCGAUGGUGGUUGCUGUUCUGGAGCGCUGGCGAUGUGGGGCCUUAAUAUGACGACUUUUUGACUGUCUACUACAACGAGCUUUGCCCGGCUCUUAUGAAGGAGGGGCGAUGACGGUGGCGCGCCUUCGGCUCACUCUAGUGCUUGUAGUUGUUGCUAGAUGGUCAAUUGACUUGAAUGUAAUUUUUAUUAUUUAUAGUGUUCUUUGUACUACCAUUACAGUUGAUGAAUAGAUGGUAAGUGUUCUUGCAAAAAUAAAUAAAUAAUGAUACCUAUUCUAUUUCAAAAUAUAUUCAAACGAAAGUGCAUCUAGGUCUAAAUGUAUUUUGGUGUCGAUGACAGUAUGAUAGUGGGACUAAUGAUGGCUAUCAAGUUUAUCUCAGGACAUCGGUCUUUUGGUGAAAUGUUAUGGAGAUGGUUGACCAUCUGUUUCAAAAAGGAAGGCGUCGGUUCUUCAAAGUGAAGUAAAAAAGAUCGUAGUCUCCUCUCCAUCCCUCUAGUUGAAGGAAAUAUGCCCUAGAGGCAAUAAUAAAGUUGUUACUUUAUAUUUCCUUAUUCAUGAUAAAUGUUUAUUAUUCAUGCUAGAAUUGUAUUGAUCGGAAACCUUAAUACAUGUGUGAAUACAUAGAAAAACACUGUGUCCCUAGUGAGCCUCUACUUGACUAGCUCCUUGAUCAAAGAUGGUUAAGGUUUCCUGACCAUGGACAUGAGUUUUCAUUUAAUAAUGGGAUCACAUCAUUAGGAGAAUGAUGUGAUGGACAUGACCCAUCCGUUAUCUUAGCAUAUUGAUCACUCAAUUUUAUUGCUAUUGCUUUCUUCAUGUCAAAUACAUAUUCCUUCGACUAUGAGAUUAUGCAACUCCCGGAUACUGGAGGAAUGGCUUGUGUGCUAUCAAAAGUCACAACGUAACUAGGUGAUUAUAAAGAUGCUCUACAGGUAUCUCCAAAUGUGUCUGUUGGGUUGGCAUAGAUCAAGGUUAGGAUUUGUCACUCCGAGUAUCGAAGAGGUAUCUCUGGGCCCUCUCGGUAAUGGACAUCAUAAGAAGCCUUGCAAGCAAAGUGACUAAUGAGUUAGUUACAAGAUGAUUCAUUACGGAACGAGUAAAGAGACUUGCCGGUAACAAGAUUGAACUAGGAAUGUGGAUACCGACGAUCGAAUCUCGGGCAAGUAACAUACCGAUGGACAAAGGGAAUUACGUAUGUUGUCAUAACGGUUCGACCGAUAAAGAUCUACGUAGAAUAUGUAGGAGCCAAUAUGGGCAUCCAGGUUCCGCUAUUGGUUAUUGACCGGAAAGGUCUCUCGAUCAUGUCUACAUAGUUCUCAAACCCCUAGGGUCCGCACGCUUAACAUUUGUUGACGAUAUAGUAUUAUAUGAGUUAUGUGAUUUGGUGACCGAAUGUUGUUCGGAGUCCCGGAUGAGAUCACGGACAUGACGAGGAGUCUCGAAAUGGCCGAGAGGUAAAGAUUGAUAUAUAGGACGAUGGUAUUCAGACACCGGAGGUGUUCCGGAGGGUACCGGGUGCUUAUCGGGUCACUGGAAAGGAGUUUCGGGCACCCGCGGCAAAGAUAUGGGCCUUAUGGGCCAUGUCGAUGUCAAAACCGACCGAUCUCGGGUAGGGGGUCCCGAACUGUGCAUCUGAGGAUCGAAGGUUACAGGAGACAAUGGAGACACGAUGUUUACCUAGGUUCAUGCCCUCUUAAUGGAGGUAAAACCCUAUGUCUUGCUUGAUUGUAUUUGAUGAGUAUAGGGGUUACAAGAGUUGAUCUACCUCGAGAUCGUAAUAGUUAAACCCUAGAUGUCUAGCCUAUAUGAUUUGUGUUAGCCUCUACGGACUAAACCCUACGGUUUAUAUAGACACCGGAAGGGCUUAGGGUUAUAGAGAGUCGGUUUACAGAUAAUGGAAACUACUCAUCCUGGCGUUAAGCUUGCCAGCCACGCAAAGGAGAGUCCCACCCGGGCAUGGGGGAAGGUCUUCUAUCUUGUAUCUUCAUGGCCCAUGAGUCCGACCCAAGCUACACAGCUCAGACACCCAAGGACCCCAUAAUCCAGGACUCCCUCAGUAGCCCCUGAAGUUGCCUUCAAUGACGAUGUAAUGUUCGUCCCAUGUCUUCGACUUUGCAAGGCGGGUUCAUUAUAAUCCGGACCAAUGAUAAUUCGGCGAUAACCUCAAUGUCUUCUACGAUUCCCCCCUGAUGGUGCAUUGAUUUUUGUGCAUCGGGUGAAUACGAACGGUCCGUGCUUUUUCAUAAAUAAUCCCUUCACCACGCUCGGGCGACACCUAUAUAAAGAGAUAUAGAUCUCGAAAGGCCAUCUCACACCACGCAGAAGAAAACAUGGCCAAGUCUAGCCACAAAACAAAGCCUUCCAUCAUGGCCGGCACCCCAGGCUCCUCUUCGCGCCCCUGUGUCCCUCAAGAGGGCGAUUGGCAGAGUUUCUCUAUGCCUCAUCUUCAACUAAGCCGGCUCCAGACGCAGGGCUACCUCCCCCUCGUAGAUAUAGUUCCUGUUCGAGCGGGAUUAUAUUCAAUUGGUAAUGACGCGAUGGCUGAGAACUUCCCCAACCCCAAUAAGGAGGAGAGGGUGUGCUUCAUCCCAUUUUUGUUACGGGGCCUGGGAUUUCCAAUCCAUCCCUUCCUCCGGGGGUUAUUGGAAUUUUACGACAUCCAAUUGCACAACCUCACCCCAGGUUCGAUUCUGCACAUCUCAGGCUUUGUUGCCCUCUGCGAGCUAUUCCUAGGCAUCGAGGCCCAUUUCAGAUUAUGGAGGAAAUUCUCCUGCCUCAUUCCUCGCCACAAAGGGGGUUCCAUAUUUGAAGUGGGUGGUGCCGAAGUAUGGCGUAUUGCCGGAUCCAGAUACCCUGUAGGAACUCCUAAAGAAGCAUACCCGCAAUGGUCUUUGGAGUGGUUCUAUAUGGACGAUGUUCCGCUGCCGGAUCCAGUUAGGCGCGGUCUCCCUGAAUUUUCUAGCGCUCCUAUAAAGAAGCGCCUCAACUGGCGUCCCCAAAGUCCCAAAGAAGAGGACAGUGCGGAGAUACAGAGGUUGGUCAGCAAGGUCAGGCUGCUAACCCACUCCGAACUCUCAAUAGUUGAAUUCAUGGCGAUCGCAAUAAAGAGGUGUGUGGAGCCUCUUCAAUCCAGAGUAACUCCCUUAUGGUGUUACAACAGAGAAGACGACGCAUCCCGUUACAGAUGGUAGGGUCCGGAUACCCUAGCAGAACUGGCUCCAAUUUUGGCCGAUCUGUACAAGGGUGAAAAAGAAGUUUUUCCCCGGUUAAACUGUCGGGAGGCCUAUUCCAUGUACGCCCCUAUCGAAUGGGUAAGAUCUCGAUUGUCUGUGCUUAUUUCACUGCAUUGCAGACACUAACCGAAUGUACUUUUUGUCGCCACCAACUAGUCAUGGAGGAGGAUGACCGAGGACGUCCACUGUCCUACUCCUGAGCCGGAGGAUCAUAAUCGUGAUGAAGAUCCUGUCUUUUGCAAGGAUCCGGAUAUAUAUAUAUAUAUAUAUAUAUAUAUAUAUAUAUAUAUAUAUAUAUAUAUAGAAUUCGACGAUGGGGUAUUCUAUCAGGCGAGCUUUGACGGUUUAGAAGUGGCCAUCAUCGCCGACUACCCUCGACUUUACCCAUUCUUCAUCGUGAGUAUCCAGAGGCUUCCUAAGAAGAGAUCCUUAUCUGUAUCCUUAUCUGUUGUACUGAUCUGGAUUUUAACAGGAUCGGCGCUCCAGGGACCGUAUCUCCUUGAGCGCGGCCCCCACGCAAGGCCAUCGUUCAAAACAAAAAGGGACCGGGAGUACUACUGAGACCUCACAGUCUUCCAAGAGGUAUGUAUACUUAAUGUAUGUCUAGGCAUGAUUCUGGAUUGUUAAGAGUCUCCCCUUUUUAUCUUUUAUUUUUAGGAGGAGUACGCGGCAAACGGUGGGAAAAUGGCCAAUUAGCCAAAUGUCCACUAAUCCGGUACCAGACUCAUCAGCAAGGACGCAAGCCGACGCCACGCCCGUUUCGCCUCCUCAAGAGGAUUCAGAUGAUGUGUCGGUCAUGAAUUCCGAAGUGGAGAGCGUGAUGAAUCACCGUCGUUUAAAGGAAGCUAUGCGUGCUCCGGCCUUGUCCGAACAAGAAUUCACCACACUGAGUUCGACAGAUGCAUAUAUCCAAGCCGCUCGAGACGGCCUUGCCAGAGUUAUUCAGCUGUUCUCAAAGAAUAUACAGGUAAAAUUUGACACAAUUUUGCAUGGUCAUAUGCCAGUAGCCCCUGAGACUUGAAACGGUGAAGCAAACCGAUUUAAGGAUCGAUAAUUUGUGCAGGUUCUGCAAGAAAAGAACACUAUUCUGGGUCAGGAGCUGAACACAAACCAGACGCAGCUGAGUGUAGCCACCGCCGAACUAGCGGAUUUGAAAGAGACCGCAAUGGGCAUGUCUAGGGAGAGAAAACUUGAGGAGGAAAAGGACAAAUAGUUCGAAGAGAUAGAGAGCUUGAAGGCUCAGCUAUCAGCCGCUCAGAAGGAAAAUGAAAAGCUGAAGGGCGGCAUGUUUGGUAUGUCUUCCCCUCUUAUUUAGGACCACCAUAGGCAGUUCACGUUUAAUCCGUAAUGCGGAAUAUCAUGAAUUUAUUGCGGCAGGUUUGUUAACUGGUCGACCAGAGGAGGAAGUGUCCGGGUUUCAAGGUGACGUGCUAAAGGAGUUGUCCGCCGUGCAUGCUUGGGCCCGGAAGGCCAUGAGGAGUAUGGUGAAGGCGUUAUGGCCAUCUGAUACCCCUCUAGAAAGUAUGGAAGCCCUGGCAAACCUGUUAAAAGGUGCUUGGUGCCGGUUCGAGCUAUGGAAGACGUCUACCUGUCGUGAAGGCGCACGAGAAGCCUGGGCCUUGGUGAAGACACGCUUCUCGAAACUGGAUCUGAAUCAUAUGGCCCGAGUAGGACCACAGGGACCUGAUGGGAAGGAAAUCCCAUUAAAUUUAAUCUAUGAUCAAGUAAUGAUCACUGCAAAAUAUUUGCAGGAAGACCGCAGAUUAGACAGCCUUAUAGACGACAUAGAGAAGGAAUAGGUUUUUAACUUAAUGUAUCAAUGUACAUUUAUGAUCAACCUAUGGUUUGAUCUGAACAUGUGAAAUGAUUUUGUAUUCGCAGACUUUCGGCUUUAACCUCCAAAUCAAUAAUGGUGGAUUGUUUCCAGAUACGUAGGACAAAAGGAAGUAUCCUUUCGGAAACCAGGCAACCCAGUCAUAGUGCUCGAACUGAAAAAAAAUCGAGUUCGGGAUGUAUGUUAUAUUACAUAUGUAAGAAACAUCUUCCAAGGAAAAUAGUUAUGUUAAAGGUUCCUUUCCUUGGGUCGGCAUAUUAUGAUUACACGUGCUGGUGCAUGUGGUCCGUAGUACAGAAAACCAUCUCAAAAUGCUUUAAAGAUGAUUGCAAUACAACAACAAUCUAUCAUUUUAGUGCCGACCAAUUAUUCCCUUAUGAACGCUAGCUUUCGGCUUCACCCGUCUGAGGUACAUGUCCGGAUGACCCGGUUGUAACAAUCACAGAGGUGCUCCCUUUAUGCCCUAGCCGAACAAUCGGGAACAUAGGGCAUAAGCAUAGGAGCGAGGCAACCUGAUGUCGCUUGAAGCUACGUCGGUAUUUCCCCAAAGAGGAAGGGAUGAUGCAGCACAGCGGCGGUAGGUAUUUCCCUCAGAUAUGAAACCAAGGUUAUCGAACCAGUAGGAGAAACAAGCAACACAACAUAAACAGCCCCUGCACACAGAUAACAAAUCCUCGCAACCCGACGUGUUAAAAGGGUUGUCAAUCCCUUUCGGGUAACGGUGGCAGAAAUUGGUGCGUGACGGGAGAAAGUUGUAAUAGAUUAAAUAAAUAGAUCACAAAUAAAAUAAAGUGCAACAAAGUAUUUUUGGGUUUUUGGAUUAGUAGAUCUGAAAAUAAAUGCAAGAGAAAAGUAGAUCGCAAAGGCAAAUAUAUGAGAAAGAAGACCCGGGGGCCGUAGGUUUCACUAGUGGCUUCGCUCGAGAAAAAUAGCAAACAGUGGGUAAACAAAUUACUGUUGGGUAAUUGAUAGAACCUCAAAUAAUUAUGACGAUAUCCAGGCAAUGAUCAUUAUAUAGGCAUCAUGUCAAUGAUUAGUAGACCUACUCCUGCCUGAAUCUACUACUAUUACUCCACACAUCGACCGCUAUCCAGCAUGCAUCUUGUGUAUUAAGUUCAUGGAGAAACGGAGUAAUGCAAUAAGAACGAUGACAUGAUGUAGACAAGAUCUAUCUAUGUAGAGAUAGACCCCAUCGUUUUAUCCUUAGUAGCAAUGAUACAUACGUGUCGUUUCCCUUUUUGUCACUAGGAUCAAGCACCAUAAGAUCGAACCCACUACAAAGCAUCUCUUCCCAUUGCAAGAUAAAUAGAUCAAGUUGGCCAAAGAAAACCCAAAUAUCAGAGAACAAAUAUGAGGCUAUAAGCAAUCAUGCAUAUAAGAGAUCAAAGAAACUCAAAUAACUUUCAUGGAUAUAAAAAGAUAGAUCUGAUCAUAAACUGAAAGUUCAUCGAUCCCAACAAACACACCGCAGAAGAGUUACAUCAUAUGGAUCUCCAAGAGACCAUUGUAUUGAGAAUCAAGAGAGAUAGAUGAAGCCAUCUAGCUACUAACUAUGGACCCGAAGGUCUACAAAGAACUACUCACGAAUCAUCGAAGAGGCACCAAUGGAGGUGGUGAACCCCAUCCGAGAUGGUGUCUAGAUUGUAUCUGGUGGUUCUGGACUCUAUGGCGGCUGGAUGAAUAUUUCGUCGACACCCCUAGGGUUCUGGGAUUUUUGGGGUAUUUAUAGAGCAAAGAGGCGGUCCGGGGUCACCCGAGGUGGGCACCCUGGUGGGUUGUCCCCUCCUCGGGACUCCCCCUAGGCGCAACCAGGGCCCAACAUGUUCCUUCUGGUCCAUAAAAAAUCUCUGUAAUGUUUUGUGGCAUUUGGACUCCGUCUGAUAUUGAUUUUCUGCGAUGUAAAAAAGACGGAAAAACAGGAAUUGGCACUUGGCACUAUGUCAAUAGGUUAGUACCAAAAAAUGAUAUAAAAUGAUUAUAAACAUCCAAGAUUGAUAAUAUAACAGCAUGGAACAAUAAAAAAUUAUAGAUACGUUGGAGACGUAUCACAACCCAGCUUGGCAAAAAACUUAAGUCAUAGAGGUGCAGAUAAUGGCAAGAAAGGAUGUAUAUCCGCAAACAACACAUGUAUUGUGAGCUCUAGGCUUGAUAUAAUAAUAAGCUUCUACUUACAGAAGCCCCUAGUCAUGGCAGGGUGUAUACAUUUAAGGAUGUGUACCCCUCAAGUGUUCGGCCUAUCCGAACACACCAUGGGAAACACAUAAAAUGAAGAAAGGAUUUUUUUUUGAAAAUGAGACAAAAAGAACGAAUAAGAAGCAUGGCCGUACUUAUGGCUUCUUAUGGCUUCCCCCUUUAAGGGGUCUGACCAUAUCUAGCCCCCAGUGUCGGUGUCAAAACCAGCGGUUCUCAGGUAGGGGGUCCCGAACUGUGCGUCUAAGGUCGAUGGUAACAGGAGAAAGGGGACACAAUGUUUACCCAGGUUCGGGCCCUCUUGAUGGAGGUAAUACCCUACGUCCUGCUUGAUUGAUCUUGAUGAGUAUGAGGAUUACAAGAGUUGAUCUACCACGAGAUCGUUGUGGCUAGACCCUAGAAGUCUAGCCUGUAUGAUUGUAAUUGUUCUCUACAGGCUGAACCCUCCGGUUUAUAUAGACACCGGAGGGGGCUAGGGUUAUAGAAAGUCGGUUACACAGAAAGGAAAUAAUACAUCCAGAUGCCUAGCUUGCCUUCCACGCAAAGGAGAGUCCCAUCCGGACACGGGAGGAAGUCUUCUACCUUGUUUUUUCAUGGCCCAACAGUCUGACCCAUGUCACACAGGCCGGACACCCGAGGACCCCUUAAUCUAGGACUCCCUCAGUAGCCCAUGAACCAGGCUUCAAUGACAAGGUGUCCGGCGCGUAGAUUGUCUUCGGCAUUGCAAGGCGAUUUCCUCCUCCGAAUAUUUCAAAGUAAUCCUCGAACACAGAGAACGUGUCCGGCUCUGCAAAACAGGCUCCAUAAAGAGUAUAAUAUUUAACAAGUCCCAUCUACUGACAUUCUUGUAGUGGGACUCCAUGUCUCCGCCCGAUCAUUAUUUCAAACUAUUUUUAGCCUCACGUUCCACAUUUUGAGAUGCAGUUUUCAUUGGAACGUCUUGUCAAAGCAGAGAUCAUGUCCUCUUAUUGCUGGAUUCUCAUCAAUACGAGCAUGGGUGAUCCAACCACGCCGCCUGCACGGCCCUUAGGGAAUAGGCGAGUUUUAAGGCGAGUGAGGAGGCACUUGAUAUUCGCUACCUUUAUAAAGGGAUAAGGAUUCACCUCUUUCACCCACACCUUCCUUCUCUCUGCCCAUCCAUUCUCAAGCUCCAGUGCCCAAGCUCCCAUCUUUUCUGCCUCAAAAAAAGCACUCCAGCCAUGUCCGGAUCCGGAGCGCAGGGCAAGUGGAUGGCCUCCUCCGUCACGGAGAAGGACAUUACGAAGCUCCGGGAGGCGGGGUACUUGGCCCCGGAAAUCGCCCACCGGCUUUCGGCCAAGGGGCAGAUCGUCCCCACCCCAGAGCCUCAUGAGAGGGUGGUAUUCAUCCCCCACUUCAUCUGCUGGCUGGGAUUUCCUCUCCAGCCAUUCGUCCGCGGACUCAUGUUUUACUACGGGCUAGAUUUCCAUGAUCUGGCCCCAAAUUCUUUCCUCAACAUCUCAGCAUUCAUUGUCGUGUGUGAGGCCUUCCUCCGCAUCCCACCUCACUUCGGCCUGUGGCUGAAGACCUUCAAUGUGAAGCCGAAGGUGGUGGGCGGUCGACACGCAGAGUGCGGAGGCGCCAUGGUGAGCAAGAUGUCCAACGUCCCAUGGCCCAAAGGUACCUUCAUGGAGACCGUCAAGGGGUGGCAGAAGCAGUGGUUCUAUGUCACAGAGCCCCGCGACACCACCUGGGCCGUGGCUCCCGGAUUCAAAUCCGGGCCCCAAUGCGGCUUACCUCCUGGCAAGAGAAGGGCCUAGACUGGGAAUCAUUGGACGAGUUGGUUGUGUUGCAAAUGCGCAUCAAGAGCAUGGUGGACAAGAAUAUCAAGCUUGUCAAUGUGAUCCAGGCGAUGCUCUUUCGCCGGAUACUUCCUUGCCAGAGGCGGACUUGCGAUUUAUGGGAGUUCGAUCCAGCCAAGCACCAGACCCUUCAACAGUUCUUCAGCGCUACUCACGAAGACAUCUGGAGGGUGCUUUUUAAGGCCAAUGAAACGUGGCCGAAGGGGACUGAGGACUGUGGGUACAACCUGGCCCAUCCCGUCAGUCCGGUAAAUUUCCUAUAUUUCGAGAUAUAUCCUUCACCUGUAUAUUCAAGGAAGACGUCUAAGCUUCCCUAUCUAUCUUUCCAGGUCUGGACAAAGAAGGUGGAGUGGAUCCAGUGUCCGGCUCCAUUGCCCGAAGACCCAACAAUCCCACUUCUAACGAAGAUGCUGGUUUCGGCGCCUUACCGGGCGUCGGGGAAGAGGGGCAAGAAGAAGGCCAAGGAGACCCGAAGUGGCCUCCGCCGCAAAGGCACUUCGGAUGUGACGUCCGAAGACGCCGAAACCCAGUCCUCCCCCGCUGCCGAAGACGACGAGGAGGAUGAAGAAGAAGAGUAGGAAAGCAACUUUCCCCUCGAGGGGGAAGGAAGAAAAGGCCAGCCUCCAUGGAUCUGGAAGCAGAGGCGCCCAAGAAGGGGAGGUUCCCCCUCGCGGACAACUCCACGUUGGAUACAGACAGCAGCUCCGAGUGGCGCCCCAGGGAGAAGCCCCUGGCCGAAUCGUAAGUACUCCAAAGCACCUAUGAAUACAUAUAUCCAACUUCUUUAUUUCGUGGUUUUAAUGUGUCGAAUCAUGCGCUGCAGUCCGGCUCACACCCGCCCCCAGCGAUCCUCAUCUUCAGGUAACUCACUGGAUCCAAAGGUGAUGGAUAGCGGGUCACUUCCGGAGGCCUCCUCUUCCAAGGCCACAUACGACGAGGAGGUGUUGUCCCGAAGGACCUUCCCAGGCCAGGGAGAGGAACAGGAGGCCGUCAGGGAGGCGCCAGAAGGUGAGACCUCGGCCGCCGGAAACAUGGAGGAGCAAAUCCCCCCGAAGACUAGCGAUGGGGGCCAUGUCCAAUUCGGUCCCCAGCCGAAUACUAUUCCGGAGGCCCAUACGGCUCCGGAAUCAGGCAAGCAACCCCCUUCACGAGAAGGAGGUGCACCUAUUCCGCCAGUGACCUCUGUGCAUCCAGAGGCACCAGAUACUUUACUGGAAUUACCGCGAAGUGCUUCCAUUGUUGAAGAACACCGUACCCUCAUGUGUACGGUGGUUGAGAGGGUUCGGUCCGCUAAGAGCGGACUGACUGAAGCCUGCACCAGCCUUCUGACAAGCUUUGAGGUAUGCGACGUAAUUUAUGCAAAAAAGAAUAUCAUAGUAUAGACCGUAGCCCCUGAGACACUGUCCAGUGCUCGAAAAGAGAAGCCAGAUAGAGGAUCAAAUAAUUUUCGUAGGAGAUUAACCAAUAUAUGUCUAUAUGAAUAAGCAGGCGUCAAUGCUGGCUACGACCUCUCAUUCUGCCGAAGUCUCUAAACUGAAGCAAAGUUUGGAGCGGGCCGAGGAAGAGCUUGGCCAUGUUAAAAAACAACUAGAGGACCAGCAAGGUAUGGUCUAUUCUGAUGUAGAAAGAUAUGAAUUGUGUAUGUUGAUCAUACUAUCAUGAUAUUUCGUAGGGGCUGCGACCGAGGUGGAGACCCUCAAGAAGUCACAGGCCGAGGCCCAAGAGAGAGCAGCGAAGGAACAUGCCGCCCAUGAAAAUCACGAGGCUAGGGUCGGGGAGGUCCAGCAGGAGCUCCGGGAUGCGGCAAAGAAAUGCGAGUCCUUGGAGCGCAAGGUUUUGGACCAAGAGUCCGAACUUGCUAAGGCCCACCAAAGCACGCAAGAUGCCCGGGCCGAAGCCCAGGGCGCCCUCCAGGAGAUCCAGGAGGCCGGGAAAAUCGCGGUGGGUAAGGCCUUUAUUAUGCAGAGCAAAUUUGUGAAGAAAAGGUACCUAUUACUGACCCAGAUUUGGAGUUCUCCAGGAGCGUUUGCGGAUCUGCCGCGCAGUGUUACUGACGUAGCGGAUUUCUUCCGAGCCGAGGAGGGGAGCUCAACGGAGAAACUGUUCUGGUCGCAAUACCUUGUGCCAGAACAUCCGUGCCCUUUAGCGAUCAGCUAAAACACCUGAUCGAACUGCAUAGGGUGGCCGAACUGGCCAUGAAGGAUUUGAUAAUCCGGCUAUGGCCUGCUGACGCCCUGCCCUACAACUACUUCAGACUCGUGAAGCGGCUUGUCAAUGCCUGCCCUCGGCUUGAUGCCAUCAAGCGGUCAGUCUACAUCAAAGGUGCACGGAUGUCCUUCGCCCGUGUCAAGGUGCAAUGGGCGAAGAUGGACGCCAUGAAGCUUGCAAUCGAGGGACCGCCCAUGGGCAAGGAGCACCGCUCGUCUGAGCGGUAUUUUGAGGAUGUCGUGAAGGGAUCCCGCAUUGUAGAGGGCCAGUGUCCGAAAGACGUUAUCUUUGAAUAAAUACAUUCAUGUUAUCCUGUCCUGUAUUAUGCAAACAAGGCCGAUAUGUAAUAUAAUGCUUGUUGUUUAUUUUAAAAUUUUACCUCCUGUGUGGCCGUUUUAUUAAAUCUGAGAGUUGGCCAGUCAUCGGCUUCAGCCCCCAUGUAGGUAGUACGGGGAUGUUCGGGUUGAAACCUAAACACUCUUGAUCCAAGAUUUUGGUCCUUAAAGGAGGUGUUUAGCGCAGCGAACCAGGCAAUCGGACUGUGUGGCUUUAUCACCCUCACUUAGCCAUAGGAGUUUGACAAUAGAAAUGUAGGUGCAUCCCCUAGUAUUCGUUAGUCCGGACUAGGGUGUUGUAGACACCUGAUCGGGUGAAGGCCGAUCCGUCGCAUAAUGCAAAAAAAAUCGCAAGAGAUUUUAACCUCCGAACAGCCGACCAGCUCUCGCCGCAUCAUGACAGUCAGUUUCGGCUUUCUCUACUGAGGUGCUCAUCCGGAUGAACCAGGACACAAUCGCAGUAGUUCUCCCUUUACUACCCUAGCCGAUAGGACGGGACAUAAGGUAGCAAGCACAGGAGCCGGGCAACCCAACUAUUGACCAAAGACAUGAUUCAGAGCCGAUGCAUAUAAUGCUAAAUUCAGGGUGCCGAACUAUACUAUAAAAAGUGUUCGGACUUGUUGUCGUAGUAUGGAGUGCCAUGGAGCCCCUGGCGAAUUAAGGCAUACCAGAGUGUAUGGAUGCAAUCGAUAAGAAUAGCGAAAUAAAAUGAAGUAGAAAGCCAGUGCCACGUGAGUUGGGCCGCAAACUAUUUUCAUUAUAAUUUGAUUAAUACGUCAAAGCAUAUUUGUACAAAUAGUGUGAUAAGCAACGGGGCUAUUUAACAUGCCGAGACCAAGGGGGAGCUUCACACGGGUCCUGAAAACAGGUAGAGUGAUAGUCAAGAAGACCACCUAGAGAUUUCGCCACACCUCAACACUACUUGCCACCUUGGUAUAUCCAUCCUUCGAAAGGAUCGAUGAUCAGGCCAUUGAGAGGGACCUGUGGAAAAGAAACCUAAAAAGGAUAAAAAGGAAAGGGAAAAAUGUGUGUCCCGGGAGGGUCGAGCUGUAUUAUGGACCACAAUCGAGUUACGCCUCCGUCUUUGCCCAUGAUAUUUUGAGUGUGUAGUUAUGUAUGCAUGGUACGUAUGCCGCUAUGUGUUCUGGACUGAGACGGAGGCCAGUCAAACUCCUGAUGAGCUGGACUGUCCUGCUUCGGAGUAUUCUGGACUCGUUUGACAGUGUCUGGGAGCUUGGCCGCCGAAUUAAAAUUUUGCUUGAUAAGGCCGCUCUGUACCCCCGCUGCUAGGGCCGCAGUGUGCUGCUCGGUAUGGAGGGAGCGUUCCGUGUUUCCAUUGACUGUUAUGACACCGCGUGGUCCGGGCAUCUUGAGUUUGAGAUAAGCAUAGUGCGGCACCGCAUUGAAUCGAGCAAAUGCGGUUCGUCCGAGCAGUGCGUGAUAGCCGCUACGAAAAGGGACGAUAUCGAAGAUCAAGUCUUCACUUCGGAGGUUGUCCGGGGAUCCGAAGACGAAUUCCAAUGUGAUUGAGCCUGUGCAGCAGGCCUCUACGCCUGGUAUUACUCCUUUCAAGGUAGUUUUUGUGGGCUUGAUCCUUGAUGGAUCGAUGCCCAUCUUGCGGACUGUGUCCUGAUAUAGCAGGUUGAGGCUGCUACCACCAUCCAUGAGGACGCGCGUAAGGUGGAAUCCAUCAAUGAUUGGGUCGAGGACCAAUGCGGCUGAACCGCCAUGACAGAUACUGGUCGGAUGAUCCCCGCAAUCGAAGGUGAUCGGACAAGACGACCAUGGGUUGAAUUUUGGGGCGACUGGCUCUAUCGCGUAGACGUCCUUAAGCGCUCGUUUGCGCUCCCUUUUGGGUAUGUGGGUAGCGUAUAUCAUGCUUACCGUUUUAAACUGGGGGGACUUCUUCUGCCCCCCUGUGUUCGGCGGACGGGGCUCCUCGUCGUCAUUCUCACUUUGCGACCCCUUCUCCUUGUCUUCAACAUUUAACUUGCCGGCCUAUUUAAAGACCCAACAACUCCAGUGGGAAUGAUUGGCUAGUUUAUCAGGGGUGCCGUGGAUCUGACAUGGACGAUCGAGUCUGCGGUCCAAGCUGGAAGAGCCUGAAUUGUUCCUUUUAUAUGACUUCUUCCACUGACCGGACUUGGAGCUACUGAAUCCGGCGUUGACCGCCGUGUCAUCAGUAUUGUCACCAUUGUUUCGACGCUUAUGCCUGUUGCGUCGGGGCUUGCCAUUGCUAUUCUUGGCUUCGGAGGUGCCAGGUUCGCUUGCAUUAUUAUUACUACGGGCUAGCCAACUAUCUUCGCCCGCACAAAAGCGGGUCGUAAGUGUCGUGAGGGCUGCCAUGGACUUUGGCUUUUCUUGGCUGAGGUGUCGGGCGAGCCAUUCGUCAUGGAUGCUGUGCUUAAAGGCCUCUAGGGCUUCGGCAUUCGGGCAGUCGACGAUCUGGUUCUUUUUAGUUAGGAACCUGGUCCAGAAUUUCCUGGCUGACUCUCCGGGCUGUUGAACUAUGUGACUUAAGUCAUCGGCAUCCGGGAGUCGGACGUAUGUGCCUUGGAAGUUGUCGCGGAAGGCGUCUUCCAAGUCCUCCUAGCUGCCAAUAGAGUUUUCGGGCAGGCUGUUCAACCAGUGUCGAGCUGGUCCCUUGAGUUUUAGCGGGAGGUAUUUGAUGGCAUGAAGAUCAUCACCGGGGGCCGUAUCAGUAUGGAGAAGAAUGUCCUCAAUCCAUACUGCGAGAUCUGUUGUUACAUCAUAUGAUUUGAUAUUUACAGGUUUAAACCCUUCUGGGAAUUCAUGCUCCAUUACUUCAUCAGUGAAGCAGAGGGGGUGUGCGGCGCCUCUAUAUCGGGCCAGGUCACGACGUAGUUCGGAUGGAGUCCGUCUGCAGUUUUUGGCCCGGGCAUGAUUAUGCUUGUCAUGUUCGGCUUGAUAGCCGUCAUCACGCGUCGGGGCACGCCCCCGCGAUCCAUAGAUCUAUCUGGCCGGACCUGCUCUAUUCUUCAGGUCCUGCCGUAGGUCAUAUGUGUAUCCCCGAGCUAUUGUGUCUCUACCUUUACAGCGAGAUAGUAUGGGCCAGAGUUUGGCUUGAGUUGCCAUUUUGUCCCGGCCACGUGAUGGUCGGUCAGCUGCAUUACGUGCUGCUAGUACGGGUUCAAGUGCCUCGUCAUGGAAUUGAGGUAGCAGUUUACGCUUCAGGUAACUUUUGGUUGGGUGCACGAGGCUGUAUUCCUCGGCUGCUAGGACAUUAGUCCAUCUGUCAUUGAGUAGAUCUUGAUCAGCUUGAAGCUGCUGUUGUUUCUUUUUCAGGCUCCUUGCAGUGGCUAUUAGCCGUUACUUAAAGCGCUCCUACUCGAGAGGUUCCUCAGGCACGAUAAAGUCUUCGCCGCCGAGGCUCACCUCGUCCUCGGAGAGUGGAAGGUAAUUACUGUCCUCCGAGUCUUCAUUUGCGGCAUGUUCAUCAGGGCUAACUUUCCCAUCCUCCCGAUCGUCUUGUUCGGAGUUUUGCUCGAUGGGUUUUUCUUGGUCUUCGGCAUCGUCAGGGGUAUUAUUGUAUCUCAUGCCGGUAUUGCUGUCUUUGCUGCGGCGUGAUUUAGAGCGGCAUCACUGACAUUUUGCCUGUAUCUCAGGAGGUUUAUCCUUGACUGGAUUUUUCUCAUUAUCGCCGUCACCCUCUUUGGGUGUAUCCAACAUGUACAUGUCAUACGAAGAGGUGGCCGUCCAGCGCCCAGUAAACGGUGGGUUUUGGGCCUGCUCUUCUCCGGCAUCGUCGUCCAUACCGUCGAUGUCUUUGGAGCCAUAAUCGAGCAUGCCAGUUAAGUCCUCGACAAUGGCGAUGAAGUGGGUGGUGGGUGGGACGUAAAAUUCCCCUCUCUCAGCCCCUAGCCCGGGUUGGGUGUAGUUCGGACGUUGCUCCUCUGUAAUAACGAGGGAUCGCAUCAAGUCCAGAGCCUCGCUUAAAGGCGAGGUUUGUCCAGGGAGAAAAGAAACCAUGGAGUACGGCGGGAAGGGGACUCCAUGGCCGAGCUCACACGAGGCUGACUCCGCGGGUUCGGAGCUAGUGUCCGGAGAAGAGUCCGGCUUCAAGACGGUUGCCAGUGACACUGCUUCCUCCGGCUCUCCCGUACUGGGCAUAGUAGCCGCAGAUAGUCCGGCGGGACUAGAAAUCCCAUCUUCGGACCCGGUGACGCGCUCCAGAUCUAAGGCCAGAGCGGAGGUUGGGGUCGUGAAUCCUUGGAAGAUCAAGUCUCCUCAGAUAUCAGGGACAUAAUCCAGGUUUCCAAAACUAAUUUGGUGACCUGGGGUGUAGCUGUCGAUCUGCUCUAGAUGGCCAAGCGAGUUGGCCCGCAGUGCGAAGCCGCCGAAUACGAAGAUCUGGCCGGGGAGAAAAACCUCCACAAGGGCGGCAUCGUUGCGGAUGAUUGAUGGAGCCAUCGAACCUUCUGGCAGCGACACAAUGGAACUCUCAAUGAAAGCACCAAUGUCGGUGUCAAAACCGGUGGAUCUCGGGUAGGGGGUCCCGAACUGUGUGUCCAAGGUCGAUGGUAACAGGAGACAGGGGACACGAUGUUUACCCAGGUUUGGGCCCUCUUGAUGGAGGUAAUACCCUACGUCCUGCUUGAUUGAUCUUGAUGAGUAUGAGGAUUACAAGAGUUAAUCUACCACGAGAUCGUUGUGGCUAGACCCUAGAAGUCUAGCCUGUAUGAUUGUGAUUGUUCUCUACGGACUAAACCCUCCGGUUUAUAGACACCGGAGGGGCCUAGGGUUAUACAAAGUCGGUUAUAGAGAAAGGAAAUAAUACAUCCGGACGCCUAGCUUGCCUUCCACGCAAAGGAGAGUCCCAUCCGGACACGGGAGGAAGUCUUCUACCUUGUUUCUUCAUGGCCCAAUAGUCCGGCCCAUGUCACACAGGCCAGACACCCGAGGAGCCCUUAAUCCAGGACUCCCUCACCUAGGCCACAAAAGGCCAGGUAAUGGGGAUAGUUCUUAGGGUAGUGGGCAGCAUAUGGCUUUGAUUGGUGAAGAGUCGGCAUCCUACACAGCGCUGUACAAGGGCUCGUGCAUUUGCUCGGGCCGUGGACCAGAAGAAGCCUGCAUGGAAGGCUUUGCUUACAAGAGCCCAAGUUGCGGCUUGAUGGCCACCUAGGCCAGCAUGUAUUUCGGCCAAGAGUUGCUGCCCCUUUUCUUCGGAGAUACAUCUUUGAAGAACUCCAGUAGUACUUUUCUUGUAGAGUUCUCCUUCUUGAACUUUGUAGGCCUUAGAGCGUCGAACUAUGCGAUGGGCCUCGUUCUGAUCAUUAGGGAUCUCCUGCCUAUUAAGGUAGGCCUAGAAGGGUUCGGUCCAUGGAGCAAUAACCGCCAUGAUUGCAUGAGCGGAAGACAUUGGCUCAGUGCCUUAGCCCCCAAUGAUAUCCGAAUCGUGUUCGGCGUCCAGGGGUGUAAUCGGCGCCGGACUGGUAUUUCUGCUCUCGUCUUGCCAUACCACAGAUGGCUUGAAAAGCCUUUCCAAAAAGGUGUUAGGCGGGACGGGGUUGCGUUUAGCACCCAUUCGAGCAAGUAUGUCUGCUGCUUGAUUACUAUAUCGAGCCACAUGAUGAAACUCGAGCCCCUCAAAUCGAGCUGAUAUUCUAAGUAUGGUGUUGUGGUAGGCCGCCAUCUUUGGAUCUUUUGCAUCGAAUUCACCAUUUAUUUGAGAUAUCGCGAGGUUCAAAUCCCCACGCACCUCAAGGCGUUGUAUGCCCAUAGAAAUGGCCAUCCGGAGUCCAUGCAGGAGUGCUUCAUAUUCCGCCGCGUUAUUGGAGUCCGUAUACAGGAUUUGUAAUACAUAACAAACUGUGUCCCCUAUAGGGCAUGUUAGGAUGACACCAGCUCCCAAUCCGGCUAACAUUUUGGAGCCGUCGAAGUACAUCACCCAGUUGGAUUAUGUGCUGUACUCUUUGGGGAGUUCGGCUUCUGUCUAUUCGGUGACAAAGUCGGCCAAUACCUGAGAUUUAAUAGCUCGGCGUGGCUUGUAUGUUAUUUCAAAUGGUAGGAGCUCGAUAGCCCACUUGGCAAUGCGGCCGGUGGCGUCUCGGUUGUUUAUAAUGUCAUUGAGUGGUACUUCGGAGGCCACCUUGAUCGAGCACUCUUGAAAGUAGUGCCGCAGCUUUCGAGAUGCCAUGAAGACCGCAUACACUAUCUUAUGAUAAUGCAGGUAUCGGGAUUUGCAUGGUGUAAGGACUGCCGAUACAUAGUAUACUGGUUUUUGGAGUGGGAAUUUGUGUCCCUCUUCCUCUUGUUCGACAAUGAGCACCGCGCUCACUACCUAGUGAGUUGCUGAUAUGUAUAGUAGCAUAGGUUCGCCGAGGUUCGGUGCGGCAAGGAUUGGGUUAUUUGCUAACAGAGGUUUUAUUUCUUCCAACCCGGCCGUUGCUGCAUCCGUUGUCGGAUUUCGGGUUCCGGCAGACCCUUGAGGUUCGAACACUAGGGUGCGCACAGAGAUUUCGCCUUCUACCUACCUGCGCCCCACCGCCGCGCUAAGAUCUAAGCUAUGGAAAGAACAACACAAGAGACACAGGGUUUAUACUGGUUCGGGCCACCGUUGUGGUGUAAUACCCUACUCCAGUGUGUGGUGUGGUGGAUUGCCUCUUGGGCUGAUGAUGAUGAGCAAUACAAGGAAGAACAGCCUCGCGAGGGUCUGUUCUUGGCUGGGGGGAUGAACUGCUAGGAGGAAUUCAGUCACCCUUCUCUCUCUCUCUCUCUCUCUCUCUCUCUCUCUCUCUCUCUUCUCUCUUCUCUCUCUGAUUUCGAUCCGAUCUCCAAUCUCCGAUCUCCGAUCUCUCCUCUACCCUGUGGGCGGCUAGUCCUAUUUAUAGGCAAAGGCCCUGGGCCUCUUCCCAAAUAUUGAGCGGGAAGGGCGCCAACAAUUGGCAAUUUUGAAGGGGAACAUCUGGUACACUUAUCCUGACUAAAGUUGGUCCUCGCCUGCCAAAGGCUCUGGUGGUGACGCUGGCUUGGGCUCCACAAUGACUUCCCCCCUGCCGUUGGACUGGUCUUGGUCUCGUUGCACCGAAACGGGUGCCUUUGCUUGAUGCUCUCGCCUGCGCUUGCUCCCUUUGCACCAAAGAGGAAAGGAGGACACUGCGCGGCUGGCGCCCGCCUGGCACCCUUGGUCGUCAUGGCUUGCGUCACGGGCACCUCGUGAGGUACCCCGCCUUGAUCUCUCUGCCUCCUCGCGAGCCAGCCUGAUGAGGCCGUGCCUGAGGGAGCUUCGCGUCGUCCGCCCCGCGAGGCUUGGCCCCUCGCGAGGGUCUUGGAUCUGUGUUGAUGAAGAUGGGCUGCGCUGGGCCCCCUUUUGAGCCAUGCCGCGGGCCGCAGGCAGGCAAGUCUGGGGACCCCCGUUCCCAGAACACCGACAGUAGCCCCCGGGCCCAAGGCGCGUCCGGACUUGGCCGUGCGGGGAGGCGAAAGGGCAAGAGCGAAGCAUUGUGGGCCCUAAUAGCCUGCGGCCUUGGGCGCCGUGUGGCGGUUGAUUGGACGUGGGCGUCUCCACUUCCCACGGCGCCUCGGCAACUGCACGGACUGGACAAGUCCCUACAUGCAAAGCGGGUCAUGAUUACCUGCGAUCGUGGAGGUCGGCGGUUGGCCUUCGCCGGCCAUAAGUACGGAACGGCGCAUGCCCUUCCAGUCCAUCCCUUCUUGCUUCUCCUUCUUCCCGGUCCUUGCUCCGUCUUACUGCGAUGGCUCCAAUCCGCCGGUUCUCGGUGACAGAGAAGGGAAAGGCUCCCUGAGAGGAACCAGACCCGCUCCCGCGGAAGAAAUGGCUCGCCCUCCGCGGCCGGGACGAGGGGCCCAUCAGGUGGUGUCGAGGCCCUGGUGCGAGCGGCCAUCGCCGGGGUUCCCGCUUCCCUUGUACGCCCACAUCGAGGGCUCUGAAGGAGUCGAUGUCGAUCGCCACGGGAGGCGCCGCCAUCGGCGCCGACGGGUCACGAAGGUGUGGGUCGUCCCCCCUGGGGUCCACACCGAGGGCUCCUAUCGAGAGUUCAUGCUCCACGCCGCCAUGCCUCCUCAGUCUUGGAUUCGCCUUCCUCCCUUCUUCGCCUCCAUCAUCCCGCAGGGAGAACUUCUGAAGCUUUGGCUGCAGCACGCCGGCUGCAGCACCCUCGCAACCGAGGCAGAGGUCGCGGUCGUUGCCCCGGGCGAGGUCUUCAUGACUCGAGGCUGGAGCGAAAUCGCCCGGGUUUGCAGGACAAGAGGCGCCCUCGUGAUCCACUUGGAGUAUGACGGUGCUUCGGUGAUGUUCUUCAAGGUCUUUGAUGCUAACAGGCGCCGGCUGGAGUGCUGCCCCGGGAGAGGUGGUCGGGACCCUGCUACGGCGAGGACUAGGCCCGCCGACCGCUCCCUUGGCGGCUCCUCAGGCGGCGGAGGCGUCGGAGGUUCCAGCGACUCCGGCGAUCUCUUCGCGACUCCGGAGACGAGCAACGACAGCUACGAGCCCCCGAGCUGGCGCCGCUCCUGGAGCAGGGCGGGCUCGUCAGGCCGUCGCUGACUCUGAUCUGGAUGGGGUUGGCGCCGGUGCUUGACGGCCAACUGUUGAUGAUGGCGUCUUUUGCAGGGGCGCGUGUAGUUAACGUCCUUUUAGGAUCUGUUCCCUGCGAGGAAUCAAAGACGCGUCCCGUGGGGGCUUGUAAGGUGCCUGUGAUCCUGUUUUGUUAAUAUAACCCUUGUCGUAGAAUUGCGUGAGUUGCUCAUUCCGUUAGCUCAGUUCUCCCUUUCGAACCUCACGAGGGCUUGGUGCUCUGCGCCGACAGGUCCCAGUCCCAAGGCGGCUUCAGCCGUCGCUGGUAUGCCAGGUCGCGAUGCCGUGGUCAAGGCCAGGAGGAGAGCGACCCGGGGUCCGGUAAGAGCCCCUGAGUCGCGAUGCUCAGGAGGUCCCCUUUGGCGCUCAAGCAGCCAUCGUUCAGUGAGAAAGGAGAGCGGCGUCGCUAACACAGGAUUGCAUUAGGUGCGGGGAUGGUGCCAUGAUAGCUGGUGCUUCCGGGUGGUGACUUAUCUCGAGAAUCAGGGGCCGCUCUCUGGUGUGUCGCCGGGUCCGUGCAUCGGCAGGCGUGAGGUUGCUCGGCGAGGUCCUCGCGUGUCCCUCCCAUCUCGCCUUUGCUCCCCAUUCUGCUCUACGUCCUCGGGUCCCGGCCCUCGAGCGAGUCUCAGCCGUCGCUGGUAUGCCAGGUCGCGAUGCCGUGGACAAGGCCACAGGGUGAGGGCUGGAGAGCCAGUAGGAGCCCUGAGUCACGAUGCUCAGGCACCCCCCCUUUAACAUGCAAGCAGUUUGCGCGGAUGAGAGUGAAGGAGACACCGCAAGGGCCUCGCCUGACGCAGCUCCUUUAGGAGAUCCUGUAGACCCAUCAUAGAAAGAACGAGGGGUUGCCAUGACAAUUGACAGUCAGCCAUUGGUUGCUUCCGAGGGGCGAUGAGGCACUGAAGGCUUGACGAGGUGGCGCCAUGCAGGGCUGCCGCGGCCAGAGCUCAGCCAUUCAGGUUUGUCGGCGUUGCAGGGACGGACCCAUGCGCAAGCGUUGUGCCGUUUGGGAGCAGCUCUGUCAGUUGGCGUCAGUUGAGCGGGCAACUAGGUCAAACACAUUAGCCGCGAAGGAGUGGAUUCAUUCAAAUAGAUGCUGGGAAGGCGGACAACACUGGGUCAGGCCCGAGCGACUUGGGGAUGAUGCAGCCCGAGGGGCGCCCCCAACAAGGUAAGCUAACAACAUAAAAUAAAAGGGAUACAUGCCGCAGGGACGGACCCACGCGACCUGGGAAUAAUGCAGCCCUGGGGGCGCUCCCAGCUGGAAAUGAAACUUGAAAGAUGACACCUGAUGAUGUUGAGGACGAAGGAGUGUUGGCAUAGCAGACUUGGUGGGCUGCGGAAGCCGAUCCUCACGAGCCCCCAGGCCCAAGGGCCUUGGGAGGCUCCGGAGGCGCUGGUGGCUCCUCGAGAACCAUCUCCAUCUCUGCCAGGGCUGCGGAACGCCUGGCCUCUUGAGCCUCCAUGAUGCCCCUCAUGAGGCGCUGGUACGUGGCAGCCGCGUUCGGCAAGCCGUAAGGCAUGCGAACGUAGCUGUGGGGUGGACCUUCAUAGCGCCCCACUCGUGAGGGCCAGAGGCGCUCCAGAGAGGCGACUCGAUUGAGCCCUGGUAUGUCGAUGCAGACGUGCAGCCCACCAUCCUCGCCUGGAUGGGGAGCCACAACUGGUAAGCGGCGGCCGCCUCUCAUGACUCUUGACUCCUGUAGCUCCCGAAUGGCCUUGCUGAUGAACUCCUGAGGGUCUGGCCCUCCUUGCCUUACUCCUUCUUGAGGGAAACGUGCUUCGAAACACGCCUCCAUGUGGUGCUAAAGCGCCUCCCUCGUGACCUUAGCCAGGUCGGUGGCACUCCAGGGGAGAGCCCCCGAGCCCUGCCUGAGGAGGGCGCCGGGCGCGCUUUCCUAUGCGAUGGAAGGAGGUUCCCCCUGGGCAGGCACGGGCCCUGAGGGGCCUGCCUCCUGAGGGGCCGGGCCGGACGAUGUCUUCUUCUUCUUGGGGGCGGUCUCGGGAAGCCUCCUGCUUCUGCGAUCCGGGUCUUCCAGCGAUGCAGCCUGAAAGGCUCGUUCCAGGGAACACACCGCGUCCUUCUCUUCACAGGGCACCGUGAUGACUCCGCCACUUCCUGGCAUCUUGAGGACGUUGUAGCCGUGGUGAGUUACGACCAUGAACUUGGCCAGCGCUGGGUACCCAAGGAUGGCAUUGUACGGUAGGCGAAUGUGAGCGACGUCGAAGUCAAUGAGCUCGGUGCGGUAGUUGUCGCGUGCCCCGACGGUGACAGGGAGGCGGACCUGCCCAAUCGGGACCGUGGAGCCGUCGGUGACUCCGGAGAAAGGCUUGGUUGGCUGAAGCUGGUUGUAGGGCACUUGGAGAUUGUUGAAUGUUUCCACGGACAGGACGUUGAGCCCUGCCCCGCCAUCGAUGAGGGUCCUGGUGACCACCACGUUGCUGAUGAUUGGGGAACAAAGCAUCGGGAGGACUCCGGCUGUGGCCGCACACUUGAGCUGAUCUGCUGAGCUGAACGUGAUGGCACACGCCGACCACCUGAGAGGGCGCGUGGCUUCGAGCUUGGGGAGGACUGCAUUCACUUCGCGGGCGAACUGCUUGAAGAUGCAUUGAGAGGCUGGGGCUUGAGCCCCGCCCAGGAUGCAGGCGAUCGCGCGCGGCUCCUAGAAGCCCCCAGCCCCCUCGUCCUGAUGGCGGUCCUCGUUUCUCCUUGGCUGCAGCGGCAGCAGAGGGAGGCCUGCGUUGCCCAGCAGGCGAUCCUCGCGAGGCUGAUCCCUCCAGUCUCCCUCCCGAGGCGGGUCUUGCCAGCGAUCCUCGCGAGGUUGACCGCGCCACCCUUGGCAUGGGCAGCAGUCUUCCCAGCGUCCUGCGUUCCUUCCUCCUCCUCGACCGUAGCCCCGGUCACCGCGGUCGGGGCGACGGACGAUCCUUCCUUCUCGCACGUCUCGGAGCUCUUGACAUUCGUUGGUGUUGUGGGUGUGGAGGUCAUGGUACACACAGUACCGACUGCCCUUGGAAGAUUCAAGCUGAUCUCUGCCCCACUUGGUGUCUGGUUCUGCCGCGAGCACGACAUCCCCCUUGCGCUUCACAUCCUUGGCCUUGGGCUUCUUCUCUUCUGGGUCCGCGGCAGGCAGCUCGAGGAGGGAGAGACGCCCUUCUUCAUCCCUAGCGCACUUGGUUGCCAAGUUGAACAACUCCAAGGAAGUGCACAGGUCUUCAUGCAUCGUCAGCUCCUCCUUCAUCUUGACGUCGCGCACGCCAUCGGAGAAGGCUGAGAUGAUGGCCUCCUCGGUCACCUGGGGAAUCUUGAGGCGUGCGUUGUUGAAGCGCUAGAUGUACUUCUGCAGGGUCUCUCUGGGUUGUUGCUUGAUGCGGCGCAUGUCGCUCACGGCGGGUGGCCGGUCGCGAGUACCUUGGAAGUUGGCGAUGAAGCGGGUGCGCAUCUCGUCCCAGGAGGAGAUCGUGCCUGGAGCCAGGUUCAGGAGCCAGGUGCGGGCCCUGUCCUUGAGUGCCAUGGGAAACCAGUUCGCCAUGACCUUCUCGUCUCCGUUGGCAGCUUCGAUGCCUAGCUCAUAGAGCUGGAGGAACUCCGCAGGGUCGGCCGUGCCGUCGUAACGAGGAGGCAGGUCUGGCUUGAACUUGCCGGGCCACGCAACGCUGCGUAGCUCGGUGGUGAAGGCAUGGCAGCCUGCUGUGGCCACGGGAGGCCUUGGGUGACGGAGAGCUUGGUCUUGCAUGUCCCCACGCGUUGCAGCUGGGAGCAGCGCGGGGUCUUGACGUGCGGGAGCAGGAACAUGGUCGCAACGUGCUGGAGCAGGGAGCGUCCGGGCAGCUUCUUGCGGGCGAGGGACUUCUUGGCAGCUCUGCUGUUGCCGCGCUAGCACCUGACGGAGCAGGUUCCGCCCAGGGGCCACGCGCCUUGGAGCCAUGGUGCCUUCUUGAGGAGGAGGCGGCUGGGGCGCCCUCGGAGCUUCGUCGCCCGCACAGGGCGUGGUGCGGUGCAGCGUAACGAACGACACAGGAGAGCCCCCUGCGGCGCGGACGAGCUCGGCGACGUGGUCGAGCCAUUCUUCGUAGACGUCGUCGACGGGACGGUAGCGCAGGAGCUCGUUUGCCGCGAUAGCGCAGCUCGAGCCUCCAUGGGUGCGCGGAGAGUGCGGGACGAAGAACCAACUGGGGUGAGCGAGGGAGUAGCGGUGCGGCCGUCUUGCCGCACGGACGGAUGCUGAGACGAUGCUUGCUGCUCGUCCCCCGUCGGGCCGGUGGCAGCGUUGACGGCAGGUGAUGGGGAACGGCGAGGACGUCCACCAACAAGAGCCGUCUGGGCGACGCGGGAAGCGAGAGUGGCCCAGCGCUCGGCGCGGGCCCGACGAGCGUCAGACAUGGACGCGAUGGUCGGAGGAGAACAGGGUGGUGGAAGACGAAUUCCGGCGCACCCCUACCUGGCGCGCCAAAUGUCGGAUUUCGGAUUCCGGCAGACCCUUGAGGUUCGAACACUGGGGUGCGCGCGGAGAUUUCGCCUUCUACCUACCUGCGCCCCACCGCCGCGCUAAGAUCUAAGCUAUGGAAAGAACAGCACAAGAGACACAGGGUUUAUACUGGUUCAUGCCACCGUUGUGGUGUAAUACCCUACUCCAGUGUGUGGUGUGGUGGAUUGCCUCUUGGGCUGAUGGUGAUGAGCAAUACAAGGAAGAACAGCCUCGCGAGGGUCUGUUCUUGGCUGGGGGGAUGAACUGCUAGGAGGAAUUCAGUCACCCUUCUCUCUCUCUCUCUCUCUCUCUCUCUCUCUUCUCGAUUCUCUCUCUGAUUUCGACCCGAUCUCCGAUCUCUCCUCUACCCUGUGGGUGGCUAGUCCUAUUUAUAGGCAAAGGCCCUGGGCCUCUUCCCAAAUAUUGAGCGGGAAGGGCGCCAACAAUUGGCCAUUUUGAAGGGGAACAUCUGGUACACUUAUCCUGACUAAAGUUGGUCCUCGCCUGCCAAAGGCUCUGGUGGUGACGCUGGCUUGGGCUCCACAAUGACUUCCUCCCUGCCGUUGGACUGGUCUUGGUCUCUUUGCACCGAAACGGGUGCCUUUGCUUGAUGCUCUCGCCUGCGCUUGCUCCCUUUGCACCAAAGAGGAAAGGAGGACACUGCGCGGCUGGCGCCUGCCUGGCACCCUUGGUCGUCAUGGCUUGCGUCACGGGCACCUCGUGAGGUACCCCGCCUUGAUCUCUCCGCGUCCUCGCGAGCCAGCCUGAUGAGGCCGUGCCUGAGGAAGCUUCGUGUCGUCCGCCCCGCGAGGCUUGGCCCCUCGCGAGGGUCUUGGGUCUGUGUUGAUGAAGAUGGGCCACGCUGGGCCCCCUUUUGAGCCACGCCGCGGGCCGCAGGCAGGCAAGUCUGGGGACCCCCGUUCCUAGAACACCGACAUCCGUCCACUCGAAGUGAUUGGUACAUCACAGCAGGCGAUAAAGUGGUAGUGCAUUUUCUCCCAACCUGGAGAUAAAGCGGCUCAAGGCUGCCACACACCCAGCUAGUUUUUGGACCUGCUUUAGGUAUGUUGGUGUUGCCAAUUGCGAGAAGGCUCGAAUUUUGGUUGGAUUUGCUUUGAUUCCUCUAUUGGAAACAAUGAACCCGAUCAGCUUUCUGGCUGGGAUGCCGAAAACGCAUUUUUCUGGAUUGAGCCGUAUGUCGUAUGUUCGGAGGUUGUCGAAUGUGAGGCGCAAGUCAUCCACCAAUGAUUCGACAUGUUUAGUUUUGAUGACUACAUCAUCUACGUAUGCCUCCACUGUCUUGCCAAUUUGUUUUCCCAGGCAUGUUUGAAUCAUGCGUUGGUAGGUGGCGCCAGCAUUUUUGAGUCCGAAAGGCAUAUUUUUGAAGCAGAAAGGCCCAUAUGGGGUGAUGAAUGUCGUUGCGGCUUGAUCGGAUUCCCUCAUCUUAAUUUGAUGGUAUCCAGAGUAUGCACCGAGGAAGCACAGUGAAUCAUGUCCUGCAGUUGCAUCAAUGAUUUGGUCAAUGCAGGGCAGUGGAAAUGGGUCCUUAGGGCAAAGCCUUGUUCAGGUCUUUGAAAUCGACACAAAGGCGCCAGGAUUUAUCCUUCUUUGGCACCAUGACCAGGUUUGCUAGCCAGUCCGGGUGUUUGACCUCUCCGAUGAAUCCAGCUUCAAGUAGUUUGGCUAGAUCUUCCCCCAUGGCUUGUCGCUUGGGUUCAGGAAAUCACCGCGACAUUUUCUUGACUAGUUUAAAGCCUUUUAUUAUAUUGAGGCUGUGUUUGACUAGUCUGCAUGGGAUUCCUGGUAUAUCCAAAGGAUGCGAGGCAAAGGUGUCCCGAUUUUCGCGCAAAAAUGCUCUUAAGGUGGCGUCGAUCGUUGGAUCCAGCUGUGCUCCAAUGGCUGCAGUUUUAUUAGGAUCCGUUGAGUGUACUUGAAAUUUGACUAUUUCGUCUGCUGGUUCAAAGGAAGUGGAUUUGGGCCUCUUGUCGAGGAUUACAUCGUCCUUGUCCACUGUAGAGCGCAGAGUAGUCAGUUCCUCGGCCGCAAGGGCCUUGGAUAGCGCCUCGAGGGCUAGGGAUGAGGUUUAGUUUUUGGCGCGGAGUGCUAUAUCCGGAUCACUGGUGAUAGUGAUAUCACUCCAUUGGGCCCUGGCAUUUUGAGCUUCAUGUACCCUUAAUGGGGUAUAACUUGAAAGUGUAUGAAUGCUUCUCGCCCUAACAGGGUGUGAUAUCCGAUGUGGAAAGGUGCCACGUGGAAGAGCAACUCUUCGGACCUAUAGUUGUCCAGCGUGUCGAAUACGACGUCGAGUUUGAUCCUCCCCGAGCUUAUUGCUUCUCGAUUGGGGAUGAUGCCUCGGAAAGUGGUGCCGCUUUGCUCAAUGCGACUUUUGUCCAUCUGCAUUUUCUGGAGCGUAUCUUCGUAGAUGAGGUUUAAUCUGCUGCCACCGUCCAUGAGUACUUUGGUGAGCCGAAAGCCAUCUACUAUUGGGUUUAUGACCAAAGCGGCUGGUGCUCGGACUGAUCUGGCCCUUGGCUCAUCAUCGACGGUGAAGGUUAUCACCAUGUCAUUCCAAGGCUUUACUACGGCUACCUGGUUGACUUCGGCCAGGACGCGCAGUGCCCUCUUGCGCCGAUUGUUGGAAGAAAAGGUCUCGAAGACCGUUAAAACAUCGAGAUCGGCAUUUUCCGAAGAGUGCCUCUCUAAAGGAAUGCUGGUGAGGAUGGCCUCACCGCUCUUAGCCACCUGCUGAAGUACCCAACAUGUCCGAAGGCUAUGUGUUGGUUCGGUAUCCGGCGUUGUAUGUAUAUUACAAGGUUUAUCAAGCAGUUCGUCAAGGACAGGUUUGUGUCCCGUAAAGGGCUUCACUUUUUUCUCCAUGGGAUGUUGAUCAGGUGCCCCAUAGGGGUGCAUCCUUUUUGUCCGUCUGGCGGGCUGCUUGAAGGCAGGGGGUUCCCACUGAGCUGUUUGUGCCUUCUAGGUGCUUUCCAUUGCAGUGUACUUAUGUAUGAUGUGUGCCAGAACUGCAAAGUGCAGUAUGCGGCGGCAGUUGAGGGCAUUAAGGAUUCCCCCGUCCAUGCAAUUUCGGCGAAAUAUUGAAACCGCGUCAUCGUCACGGUAGUCCUUGAUCUUAUUUUUGACAAGGAGGAACCUAGCCGAAAAGUGGCGGACUCUUUCAUCAAGUUGUUGCCGCAUGUACAUUGGGUCGCAUACGUCUGGAGGACCCAAAUUGUUGGGGAAUAUUGCAUGUGGUGGGUGGGCGGGCUAAAAUCUGAAUCCUGACCCAUUAUUGCAUCCGGAGUUUGAAGAAUUUGCGAAGUCACCAAUCCAGGGUCCUGAGUGUCUUGGUAGUCUUCGGGCUCAAUGCCCGGUUCUAUGUUCGGAGGACAUGAGGUCUCUUCCUGAAGAUGGGUAUCUGGCUCAUAGGACUCGGAAAUCCGAACAUAGCUUGUUCUCAACUUAGGGGGAGAAGUAUCAUCGGUUUGUUCCUCCACAACCGCUACCAGAUGGGUGAUCGACGGGGACCUGAUUUCCUCUGAUCGGGUUUAAGCCCAAUCCGAUUAUAGUCUAUUGCUACUCCCAGGGCGGCGAUGCGAUCAAGUAAUUCAUUUAAGGACGAAACAUAUGCCGGAUCCAGCUUUUCGGGGUGUUCGAGGCCAACGCAAAGAUGAUGUUUAGCGAUCUCGAGGGCAGCCCUUGGCUUAAAGGUCGUACGGGCGCCCAUGGUGAAACUCCCGAGCUAGAGGAGUUGUCCCAGAGCUAGGGUCUCUCUAGAGGUAAUGUUGUUGUUAAUGACAGGGCGAGCCAUCGAUCCCACCGUCGAUGGCACAAUGGAACUCUCAAUGAAAGCAUCAAUGUCGGUGUCAAAACUGGCCGAUCUCGGGUAGGGGGUCCCGAACUGUGCGUGUGAGGAUCGAAGGUUAUAGGAGACAAAGCCACCAUUCAUAAUUCUUUCAUACAUGUUACUCUUGAUUCAUUGCACAUCCCGGUACACCGUCGGAGGCAUUCACAUAGAGUCAUAUUUUGUUCUAAGUAUCGAGUUAUAAUUCUUGAGUUGUAAGUAAAUAAAAGUGUGAUGAUCAUCAUUAUUAGAGCAUUGUCCCAGUGAGGAAAGGAUGUUGGAGACUAUGAUUCCCCCACAAGUUGGGAUGAAACUCCAGGCGAAAAAGAUAAAAAAUAAAAAAAGAGGCCAAAAAAAGAGUGGGCCCAAAAAAACAAAAAAAAAACA
This 73899-nucleotide long non-coding RNA is filed under the name Triticum aestivum (bread wheat). RNAcentral's name for it is "long non-coding RNA (TAES_LNC014884)". The record is from RNAcentral. Lineage: Eukaryota; Viridiplantae; Streptophyta; Magnoliopsida; Poales; Poaceae.